RNAcentral lists this long non-coding RNA (45165 nucleotides) under Cicer arietinum (chickpea). RNAcentral describes it as "long non-coding RNA (CARI_LNC003151)". The record is from RNAcentral. Lineage: Eukaryota; Viridiplantae; Streptophyta; Magnoliopsida; Fabales; Fabaceae.
CGUAAAUUUUUAUAUAAGUCAAACCGCUUUAUACAAAGCCUAUUUAAUUUAUUAUAGACACAUGGUGUAGCAAAAUAGAACAUAAAUUUAUACUUAAAUAUGAUUUAUUGAAGUAUUUGUGAUUACAAAUGACCUAAAAGAUCAAUAAGUAGCAACACAAUUUUAUUUAUUUGUAAAUUUGGAGUAAAAGAGCAUAAUUUUUUAAUCAUGAUUUCAUUCAUGACACAUUGGUAACUUGUUCCUCUUAUUAAAUAGAUAUUAAUAUGUUUUGUUGCAUGGAUAAUUUAGAAAUGGAUUUGACAUUUGGGUGAUUUUAAUGUCUCUUAAAAAAAAAAAAACGUCUUUUACGUACUGGUGGAGGAGGAUGCCAUGGAAUAUGGGGAGGAUGAAUCUUUACAGGAGGGGGAGAGCGCCUGCGAAAGCGGUCGCGUAAAACUUGCCACAUCAUGUCGAGUUCUCCUUCUUUAUCGUAAUUAGGUGGUUCAGGAAUUGGUGUCUUGGAGAUUUGUGGGCUUACAUCAGCAAGUCCUUGUGAAACAAGGAUAAGAGCAGCAAGGAACAACAUUAGUAAGGUUAAGAAAUUCGAAACCAUUUUCAUAAGUUGUUUUAAUGUUUCUACAUUACAUAUAAAGAAUAAUCAUAUUUUAUACUAGUUUGGAGCUCAAAUGGGUUUGCAAUGUCUCAAUCUGAGUUAUAUGUGUUGUCCCUUAUUAUCAUUGGCUCUCCACACAUGUGAGUCUUUUCUAUUAAUUCAAACCAUAUUUUAGGACCAAAAAGAUACAUUAACUAUUAUUGAUAGAGUAAAAUUAAAAUUUACAUUAAUUUAAAAUUGAAUUUUAUUUGUAUAUAUGAUUAUUCGAAACCAUAUUUAGCCAUAUAGAAAUUUGUUGAUAUAUUUUAGAAGCUAACUUAAAAAAUUAAAAUAGCGUUAAAGUGUAAUUUAAUUGGAGACAUCGUUUAGUUAAUUAAAUGUUACAUUUUUUAUUUUUGUAUUCAACAAUAUUUAUAGUUGCGAAUAAAAGAUAUCUAUACAAAAAUACAUAAUCGUUCAAUUUAUUGAUUCAAUGCGACGUUAACAAUAAAAUAGAAUAAAGAUUUAUUGCAACAAAUAGGAUUAGCUAUAAGGCUAAACCAACAUUGCAAAGGUUGGGUGAAAAAUAUAAUACUGACAUUUCCGUUCUACCUUAGUCUUAUUUUUUAUUAAUCGCUUCAAAUCACCCAUGAAACUUCGAAAUGCAUACUUCCACCUAUAUUAAACUGGUUCCCUGGGCAUAACUUCAUAAGGUUAACUUUGGUCAAUGAGUUUAAAACAUUGUUUGACAAUAAAUUAAAUACAAUCCGAAGUAAGGGUUCCAUGAAAACAUGAUGAGUAUACUAUAUCAAAAUAUGAAUUUUAUAGCACAUCUUUAAUAGCGAUUGUUAAAUAAAAAUAUUGUUGUAUUAUGUUUUAAAAAUACACGGAGUCUUAGACAAUGUUUUUUUGAAAAACAAUGUCAUAUGUACUAAUAACAAAGCCUUUAACAACGUUUUUUAUAAAAGCACUGACAUAUGAUCAUAAUAUUUAAAGCGUUUUUGUUAUAAGUGUUGUCAUAGUGUAUUUUAACGCGCUUAUCAAAAAAGCAAUGUCAUAGGAUCUCAUAAAGUUUCUACUUUUUAAAGUCUCACUUUUAAUUUUAUGCAUGUAAUUGGUUUUAUUCAGCAAACCGUCUAUGUCGUCGCAUCUCUGUUGGGGAGUCCAUGGGAGAGCGACAUCCGAAAUAGGCUAAACAUCAAGGAUUCUUAAGUGACUUAGACACCACAUCUCAACCCAAAACCUUAAGGCAUUAGGUUCAUGGGUUAUUCUCCUUAUAUAUCCAAUAUAGCCUUCAUUCCUAGUCAAUGUGGGACUAAACAUCAAGGAUUCUUAAGAGAUUUAGACACCACAUCUCAAUCCAAAACCUUAAGGCAUUAGGUUCACGGGUCAUUCUCCUUAUAUAUCCAAUAUAGCCUUCAUUCCUAGUCAGUGUGGGACUAACCACUCAUAAUUGAAUUCCAACAAAUCUCCCCCUCAAUUAUGAGUUCCCACCACUGAACUUGAUCCAAGUCCUUUUUGCUCUUGAUCCACUUGAUCCAAGUGCUUUUUGCUCCCCCACCAAAGCCAAACCAGGCUCUGAUGUGUAGUAUACACUUAACUAUUGUCAUGAGAAAAAAGACAAGAUAAUUUUGUUUUUUCUACUAGUUUUGUAUGUCUGAUUGGUAAAUCAUUUAUGUGAUAAUGGGUGCCAAAAGCGUUGUCUAUCAAUGAUUUCAAGAAUUAUUAUGUUGACAUAAAGAAUAAUCAAAAAUGGGUUUGGAGAUUGGUAAAUCUUACUAAAAAAAUAGUUCAAUAUGUGAAAUAGUGAGAGGUAAAAGAAGUAAUAUACCAAUGUAGAACCUUAACCUAAUGUGCCACUUAUCGAAAUUAGAGGUUGUGUGAACUAUAACCUAAUAUUGGCCUUGAGACAACUGGGUAUCCCAUCAUAGGGGAUCAAGCACCAAUACUAAAAUCCAUUUUAUUCUUUAUGACAUGGGACCAGAAAAAAUUGAAGAUUUGUGAAGAAUACGUAAAUCUUGGGAUAUGAUAAUCAAAAAAAGGAAGGAGCUAAGGAGUAGAAGUUGUGGUGUGGAUGAUUGCUACAAAGGUGGGUCAAGAAUAGAGUCCAAGAGAUCAAACUACCUUUUCGUCGUACAUCAGAGGCAGUCGAUGAAACACUGAUGCAACCCACUAUUACUGUAACUACCAAGGUACGCCUAAAAGGGGGGGGGGGGUGAAUUAGGUGUUAGGGUAUUUUCUUGUUUUCAGUGAUAUGGUAGUUGAAUUUUCUGAGUUAAUAUAAUGACUAAUAAUAAGUAAGUGCAGUAAAUAAAUGAGCACAGUAGAAUUAUCCUAGUUCCCCUUAUAACCAAGGGUACAUCCAGUCCUCUUGCACACCACACGAGAUUAAUCCACUUAUUGCCAGAAAAUGUACAACUCCCACCAAAGGAUUUCUGCUACAAACUUCUAACAAUACUUCUAAGAUAGCACACCACUAUCUUAGAUUAAGCUACUUUUAAGAAAGUACUACUUUAUUUUACAAGUGAUACAAUAUGAUUUUGAAUAAGGAUAAAGGAGAGGUAUAACGAUUUCAAUCUAAUAAUACUUCAAGUACUUUGAGAAUCUUACAGAAUGAUAUGAAACUAAAAUGCAAGUACUUUGUAAAAAACAAAAUUUUGUUCAAAGUUAUUCAAGGUAUUGAUUCAAGGAUUGUGUUAUGUUUGAUAUGAAGUUAUAGCGUAUUUAUACUCCAUAAACAUCUCUUUAGAUUCGUGGUCAAUGAUCCAAGAGGUUUGAUAAACAAAUACAAUGAUAUGGAGCUAUUUCAGAUCUGAAAAAUUGUAUUGCAUCCAGUUGUAUUUGGAUACAGGAUGUGUGUAUUCGAAUACACCUCUUUAUAACUUUCAAAUUUAUUCAAAAUUUGCACCUUGUAUUUGAAUACACCUUUCAUGUAGUCGAUUACAUAUACGUGAAAUUUUCUACUGACUUACUUUGUAUUCGACUACAGAAGGUCGUAGUCGAAUACAGAUGCAAAGAUUUUAGCCACUAACUUGCUAUGUAUUCGACUACAGAUGGUUGUAGUCGAAAUCAAAUGUGAGGCUUUUUCUUCUGACUUACUUUGUAUUCGACUACAACAUGCUGUAUUUGAAUACCUUUUGUAUUUUGUCAAAAAUAUUUGUUUUAAUACUUUGUUAAUGUAAUUUUGACUUUUGAAAAUACUUUAUAUGCAUAUGUAAAUAUUAAUGGUUCUCAUGUAUUUGAGGUAUUUGGUUGUAUCGUUUACCUUUACAUGUAAACACCUAAUAUGUUUGGAUUUAAAGCUUAUUAAUGAAGAUAUUUGAAAUUCUUUUUGAGCUUUUUGCUUUGAUCAUAAUUGUUGAUCUUUGUUGUCAUAAAAAACAUGUAGUUUACAAUUACUAGUGAAGAGAUUGAACGGUUGCAAACAUCAACUCUAGAUGGGGAUAAAGAAAAGAAGAAUUUUCUAGAAGAAUUGAUCAUCGAGCAUAUGAGACUGCCCAAAUGGAAAAUGAGCAGAAGACAAUUUCCCUUAAAAGAUCAAAUACGAGGGCAAAUGUGGAGGAAGAUUUUUGGCUCAAGUGUCAACACAAUUUAAGGGCCUUUUACGAGUCCUUAUGUUUGAGAUAAGAAGAAAGAGACCAAGCACGAGAGAAUGUUGAGAAAUUGAAAAAUUAGUUUAAAGAUUCAUAAAUCAGUGAGAAAAAUGCAAAAAGACAAUUGAAAUAUUCGAAACAACAAAUUGAAGAAAGCGGUAGUAGAAUAUAAGAUAAGGAUAGAAGGAGAAAAUAAUGAAAGACAAGAAAUGGUUUUCAUGUACCAAGAUACAUGGAUGAAGGAACAAGAAGAGGUAAAUAUGUUCAGUAUCCAAAUGAUGGAUCAAGUGAAAGCAAUCAAGAUAAUUUGGCAAUAAGGGUUAAUGUGGAUGGAUCGUUGCGAAAAACUCUCUUUCAUUGCCAACCAAGCCAUCGAAGAGGUCCUUGUACUCCUAAGAAAAGUAGAAGCGCGAAUAGUUCCAUCCGCCACACUUGUUGCAAUUAUUACUUUCAUUCAACAUUGUAAUAAUUUGAUAGAAGCAAUGAAUGGUUUAAUUCACAUAGAUCAAUAAAAACAAUGUAUUUUGAGUAUAAAACUAUGGCACUUGUACCCAUUUAAUUAUCAAUGAACGAGUUUAUUUUGCGUUUUCUCUACAUAUGCGUUUGGUUUUGAUGCAUGAUCUCGACAAGAUGCUAGUGUCUAGGUUGUGAAAUAAAUGAUUCUGUAAUAUUCACAUGCAUCUAAUUGAAGGAAAAUAUUGAUUGAAUCGUAUAGGCUAUACAAGCUUUGGCAAUGAAGGAGAGUAAAGAUAUGAAUCCUCUAGUUCUGGUUUCGUUUUUGUCUCUUGUUUUGGUGGUAUCCUCUAGUCGUAUCCUCAUCUAAUAUUUGGUUCCAUUUUUGCCUCUAGUGGUAUCAUUUGUUUCGGUUUCUACCACUUGUUUUGGUUCUCUCUCUGGUGUUGGUGGUAUCCUCUAGUUGUAUGAUUUUCUAGUAUCAUCUGGUUCCAUUUUGUUUCUGCCUUUGGUGAUAUUCUCUGGUGGCAUCCUUUGCUCGUAUCUUCUUUUGGUAUCUUCUAGUGAUAUCCUUUGGUGGUAUCCUAUAGUCGUAUGAUCUUCUGGUAUCUUCUUGUCGUAUCCUCUAGUGGUAUCCUUUGAUUCUGGGUAUGUUUUUGCCUUUGUGGUACUGUCUGACGGUAUACUCUAGUCGUAUCCCCUUUUAAUACCCUCUAAUUGUAUCCUCUGGUGGCAUUCUUUAAUAAUAUCUUCUAGUCGUGUCCUCUAGUGGUAUUCUAUGGUUCUAGUUUUGAUUCUAUUUCUGUCUCUGGUGGCAUCAUCUGGUCGUAUCCUCUUAUGGUAUCCAUUGGCGGUAUCCUCUAAUUCUAGUUCUUGUUCCCUCUAAGUUCUUGUUGUUUAUUUUUUAUCUUAUGUUAAAUAAACUAACUAUUUUAGGGACUUUAUUAUGAUUUAAAUAUAUCCACAAAUAAAUUAAAAUGCAUCAUAUUAGUAUAUAAAUAAUAGGAAGUGUCAUUAUACAAAUAAUAACCAAGAAAAAAAUAUUAGCCUCUAGGGUUAACUCUAACAAUCUCCCACAAGCACUAGAGCUAACUAGAAAUACUCCUAAUACCCAUAAUUCUAGUAUGACCAUCAUGCUUCUGUUGAGCAAGUGGUUUUGUAAGUGGAUUAACAUUGUUUUUCCAAGAUAGCAACUCUGCAAAUCCUCACAUAUACUCUAUCGAUGCUCUCUCUAAUAAGAUGGAAGCGUCGAUGUGACACCCUAAAUCCCAAAAUAAUAUAUAUAAUAAUUUAUAUCAUAUUCCUAUAAAAUUUGCAGCAGAUAAUUAAAAAUAUAUUUACAAGAAAAUACAACUUUAUAUUUAAUUUAGGAUAUCACGUUUCUCAAAAAUAAAAAUAAAACCCUUUAAACUUAUUUUAUUCAUUAAAAUAGUGCAAUCUCGAUAAGCAUUAUUUAAGUAUAAUUACUUGAUUUAAUUCUAAAAACCUACUAGUACUUCUAAGGUUUUCAUACAAAAAUUCAUUUCUAAUUAAAUAAGUAAAAUCCAAAUUAAAACCCUUAUUCCCGGUAUCACCUAUCAGAGCGGGGUUCCUCGCAAACUUAAACUUCAAGACUCAUUAACCUGUUAUAACUGCGAUUUUGCAAACACAGCGCCUUGCCAGUCAAACACAAACAACGAAUGAGGUGAGUUUCAAAAUCAUGAUGACAGUACAAUACAAGUAAGAAGAACACACAAACAAUCAUAAUAGGACCGUAUCAUUACACAAAUAUUCCAUCAAGGAAAAUCAAUAGAUUUCACUGUAACAUCAAAUUGUCUAAGAGAAAUUAUCACCACGCACGAUACAUAUUAAUAAUAACAAAACAAUUACAAUAAAAUGCAAUGUUAUGCAUGAGCUUAGACACUACUUCACAAUGUGGUACCAUUCUAACUCUGAAGUACUUGGUUAGGAGGCUUGAUACUAUGCCACCAUCCCGGUGAGCGGACAAUUCAAAUUGGCCUUGUCCUCAUAGAUCCCUUCAACUAAACCCGAGACACAUAUACGUGACAGUCGAGGUAAAUGUGUGUUGCGUGGUAGCUCCCGACAUUUGGAGUGCUACCUCCAAGUCACCUAGGAAUUCCCCACCCGAAUACCUCCAAGGUCUAACGAUCUUGCCUUAAGGCUCGACACCAGACCGCCACAAUCAGACUCAUUCAGUUAUACUUUCCCAGAAUCACUAGGCUUGUUAGGCCCUACCUAUAUGAUGACAAAAUAAUCUUCACUUCACAAUUUCUCAAUAUUUAUUUUCUCCCCUCGUUGAGCUAUGAUACUCCAUUAAGAACCAUCAUCUCAAACACAAAUUGAAAUCACAAUUAUUUCACCAACUAUGGGGUUACUUUAAUAUUCUCAUCACAAAUUCACAAUAUCACUAUCGUUAAUCAUAUCUUAUCACAUAAACUCAACACAUAGGCUUGUCACAAAUUUAUAACAUCGUUAUUAUUAAUUAUACAUCAUCAUAAUCACAUAAAUGUAUCAAAAUAAAUUCCUUUUUAUCAUCACAUCACAUACACACGUCUAAUCAAACUUAUACAUAAAAUUCAUUCAACAUCUAAUAUCACAAUAAUAUCAAAUAUCACACAUUUAGUGAAAAUAAAUCAAACAUCACAAUAAUAUUCAAUACCACACAUUUAGCGAAGUUAAAUCUAUCAAAACCUUAUAAAUAUUUCUAUUCCAUACUUUAAUCUCAUAAUUCACAUAUUUUAACAUUAAUUAAUUUAUCACUUAAAUGGCUACUGUCGUACGUAACGAGCCCCAAAUGAAUCGUUUGGAAAUACGGUUUUCUCGUUCAUCUCAAAUUAUAUUAUACUCAUGAAUUCAAACGCUCUCUCAUCCCUUACCUUAUUUUGAAGCUUUCACACACGAAUACUAUUCCAUGAGCAAACAACCUUUGUUCAUUGACUCUUUGUCCUUCAAUUGAUCUAACUCAACAAUUUAUGGGUAAACGUUAAAAAUAAAUUAUGAGAAGUUACUCUAAAAACUAAUUUCAUAAUUUGGUCAAGGAAAAUUACCAUAAAUCAGAAACUCAAUCAAUGGAUAAUAUAGCCACUUUUUACACGGUCGUUUUGGCGUUGGUUUCACUCAAAUCGGACUUACAGUGAAGGAGAAUGGUGCAAAAUAAUGAAUUCUACAAACGAAGAAGUCGGAUAUUUUAGAGAGAAAUUGGGGUUGUUAAAAAUCUGGAAAAUUAUAUUUAAUUGACGAGUUAAAUGAAUGAAAUAACAAACUCAAAUUUGGAUGAAAAUGGAGAGAGUUUUCUGUAACAGUUAUCGAUCACCGGUGUGAAACGAUAGGAUUAUUGUUGUGUUUCCUCUUUAGUUUUACGGCUGUCCUUCCAACUCCAUUCUCUUUUUUGUUUAUUUUAUUUUAUUAACAAUUAGGGUUCAUACAUGAAUCAGACCCAUUGGUCUCCUUUUAGGUUUUACUAGUUUUAUUUUAUCUUAUUUUUUUAAAACACAAUUUCGUUAAUAAAGUAUUAUUAAUAUUUCCAAAAGAAUAAUUUAUAAAUAAAAAUAAUUAAUCUUUUAAAAUACAUUAAUAAUAAAAAAUCUCAUAUUUAAAAUAAUCCCUAUAAUAAUAUUUAUUUUUUUCAAAUACCCAAAUUAAAAUAUUACCAUCAUUAGAGAAUAGUCGAAAUUGUAAAAUAAAUAAAUAUAACAACAACACUUUAUAUUAAUUGCUAAAUCUUAAUAAAUAUAUAUAAAAUCACAAUGUCAUAACCAGUAUAUAAAAAUAAAGUAAAUCAAACACAGUAUCACUACUAUCUCAAGAUAAUUAUUUAUUAAAAAAAUAACUAAAAAUAGAAAAUAGUUAUAAAUAAUUGAUGCUGUUUCCAAGCAAAACUUCCUGUAGUACCCUGCCAGUCCUACAAAACUCCGUAUGUCAGUGACAGUCUGAGGUUGUUUCCAAGCAAGAACCGCCUCAAUCUUAGCCGGAUCUACAACGAUUCCUUCCUUGGUUAUCACAUGUCCCAAGAAAUUCACUUUCUCUAGCCAAAAUUCACGCUUCGACAUAUUGGCAUACAGUCGCUUCUCGCGUAAGAUCUCAAGAACUUGGCGUAAAUGUUUUCCAUGCUCUUCUUCAGUUCUUGAAUAAAUCAGUAUAUCAUCAAUAAACACCACAAAAAAUUUAUCCAGGAAUGAAUUAAAGAUUCUGUUCAUGUAGUCCAUGAAAAUUGCUGGUGCGUUGGUAACCCCAAACGGCAUAACCAAAUAUUCAUAAUGUCCAUAGCGGAUUCUGAAAGCCGUUUUCUGAAUGUCUCCUUCCCUUACUCGAAUCUGAUGGUAACCCGACUUCAAGUCAAUCUUCGAAAAUAUCGCGGCCCCUCUCAAUUGAUCCAUCAAAUCAUCGAUUCGUGGCAAAGGAUAACGAUUCCUAAUAGUUGCCUUAUUAAGCUGUCUAUAAUCCACACAUAGGCGCGAGCUUCCGUCCUUCUUCUUAACUAGCAAAACUGGAGCUCCCCAUGGUGAUACACUUGGUCUGAUGAAUUUCUUCUCCAACAAGUCUUCAAUUUGGCCUUUGAGCUCAUUUAAUUCCAAUGGCGACAUUCGAUAAGGUGCCAUUGAAAUAGGUCCCGUUCCUGGGUGCAAAUCAAUGAAGAAUUCCACUUCUCUUACCGGUGGCAAUCCUGGAAUUUCCGUUGGAAAUACAUCCCGAUACUCGUUGACAAGUAUCACAUCUUCUAUAUCCACAUUUAUCUUUGCCUCCACAUUUGCCAGAGACAAAAACUCAUGAGUCCCUUCACUUAGCGACACUCGGAGUUUGUUAGCAGCUAAAUACUUAACAACUCCUGGUUCGGGGAAAAGAACCAAUUUACGAGCACAAUCCAAGAUCACAUAAUGAUAAGACAUCCAAUCCAUACCGAGGAUGACCUCGAGUGAUUCUAGCGGUAAACAAAUUAGAUUAACCAAGAAAUCCCUAUUCUGUAUAGUCAUUCGACAAUGUAAACAUGCAGAAUUUACGGUUAAGGUCUUAGCAGGUGUGGAAACAACCAAAUCAAAAGGUAAAGCAGACACAGAUAACUUCAAGCGAUUCACACAGUCCAUAGCAAUGAAGGAAUGGGUUGCCCCCGAAUCAAAGAGUGCAGUUAGAGUGUUACCUGCAAUCUCACAGUCACGCUGAAUCAGAUUACCAGAUGGAUUCCCCUCUUCAGCAUUCACACAAUAAAUGCGUCCUCUAGCAGUAGGACGGGUAGCCCUAGCUACAUUCACCACUGGUUCCACCUUUGGAGCCGUGCAAUCCCUUGCCAUGUGCCCCGACUUCCGACAAUUGUGACAGAUGGGGAUGUUAGUGGUACAAGCACUAGCAUAGUGUCCUUCUCCCCCACAUCGGAAACAUCGAAGCACUUGCCCCAAUUGCCUCCCGAAAUUCUGGUUCCCCGGGCGACUCUGCCCACCGUUGUUAUUCUGGGGUCGAUUAUAAGGUUUAGCAACUUGCUUCCCCUUGUUCUGAUAAUUCGCCCGACUAGGGCCUCCCGAAUUAAAAUUCCCUACUCGGCUAGCCCUCUUGUUUUUCAUAUCUUCCACUUCUCUACAUUUCUCCACCAGCGCUUGGAAACGUUGAAUUCCCAAGGGUAAAACGGAAUCUUGAAUCUCAUACUUCAAUCCGUCUUGGAAACGAUGACACAUGAACGGUUCAUCAAUUUCUUCACGGAAGAACCUGAAAUGCCUCGAUAGUGAUUCAAAUUUAGCAGCAUACUCGCCCACAGUCAGGCUCCCCUGGUGAAGUUUCAGAAAGUCGUCACCCAACUUAGUCCUGGUACUCAUCGGAAAGUAUUUGUCUAAAAACUUUCUUUUGAACGAUUCCCAGUUCACCUCCUCGUGGGCUGCUCCCAUCAAUAACCUUGCACUCCUCCACCAGUACUCAGCAUCCCCCAACAGCAUAUAAGUGGCAUAGCUGACCUUCACUCCCGCCUGACACUUUAUCAUAUCAAAGAUCUUCUCCACUUCUUGGAUCCAUUGAUCCGCCUUCUCUGAACCCUCAUCCCCCUUGAACUUAGGAGGAUUGUAACGACGGAAGUCUUCUAACCCUCUUGACUCUGCAGCACGGAUCUCUCUUCCCCUCUUUUCAAGAUCCCGUUGAGUCUUGGCAGCAGUCUGUGCAGCAACAGAAGCAGCCAUGUUAUUCAUAGCCUCCGCCAUUUGAUCAUUCCUAUUAGCGUUGGCUCUCGGAGCGUCAUUCCUUCUUGGCGGCAUGGUUUCCUAUAAAACCAUCAUCAAGUAGAGUCUUAACACUACUUCAAAUAAUUCCAAACUAACGUCCGACUAACAACACACAAUUAUAUUGGACUUGACAACUCAAGUCACCUAAACCGACACAUGAUCAGACAACAACUCUUAACUUAUAGGUCGACCUACAAUCUAUAACCAAGGUUCCACAGCUCCCAAAGAAAACCAAACCAAAGCUCUGAUACCACAGUGUAACACCCCGUUUUUCAAAGCGAGGGUAUAUUUUUUUUUUCAAAAGAAAUUAAAAUAAAACAAAGUAAAACAAAUGAGGAAAUGUCUUUGGAUAAAUAAUUGAGUCAUUACAAUUUACGACGAUUUUUCAAAACAACAUUAAGUAACCCAAACAUUAAGAGAUUCCCCAUUCUUAAUAUCCAGUUAACUUAAACGAUUUUCACAAACACACAUUAAGUAAACCGAGAUAUUAAAAGAUUCCCCAUUUUUAAUACUCGUUUAACUCUAAUGGUUUUCAAAUUUCACAACAAAACCAACUCAAAACAUUUUAUCAAAUUCAAUUCACAAUCCACACCAAAACACAUCAAAUUUCAUCGGUAUUAACUUAGAACACGUCAAAUACGACGAACACAAAUCAACACAACAUAGCACUCAAACACAUCAAAUUUCAUUUACCCAUAAUCAUACACAACUGAGUUAAGUUCAUUUUCCACGAAACAUCCAUCAAAUAUAACCAAAACCUAACUCUAAGAUUUUACCCAUAAAGUCUUAGAUCCAUUUUCCCCCAAAUCAAUACUCAAACCCUAACAAGAUCCUUUCCACACAAUCACAGAUAAGUCCCUAAAUGCAAACUAAAAGUUUGGAAGGAGCCCUUACCUUAACGUUAGCUUUAACGUGCGUUUCCGGUACCGCGAGUAAAUCCUGUAAAAAUCUCCGCUCGCAACGUCGCCUCCAAGUUGGUCCCCUAGCACCGUAGCAUGGUAGUGAGCAACUUUCCCUUCUAACUCUUCGCGAAACGAAGUUUAGAUCUAGAUGAAACGGAGGGGUUUGUGUUUUAAUCUCUAAUACCGUUUUUCUUCGUUUUCGAAUCAAAGAGGAAGAGUGAAGUUAACAAAUCCUUAUCCUAACAUCACCAAGCUUUGGGUUUCUAAACUUAAAGAAAGAAAGCAAAAAAAGGACGAAAAUGGAGGAGAAGAAGGAAAUUGGUGCGCGUGAGUGACAGAGGAAGAAGAUGGAAAAAUCAGAUUUUCCUUCCUUUCUUUUUCUUUCCUUUGUUUUUCCUUUCUUCCUUUUUCCUUCCUUCCUUUAUAUACUCUUUUCUUUUCCUUUUCCUUCCUUCUAGUUUUCCUUUCUUUUUCCCUCCAAACAAACACAUAAAUAUAGAAUAAACAUAACUUAACAAAUAUCUCAAAAUAUCUAGAUAUUUGUUAAAUUACCAUUUCACCCGAAACGCAUUAAAUUCUCCGUAAAGGAUUCACCGCAGUUAAUUUAAUUUAUUCAUCGACGAGUAAUUCCAAACGGCAUCAAAAUAACUUUUUGAUCAUAUAAACUUCAAAAUAUUAUUAACUUUGGCUAAAAAGCCUCCGAGCUCAAAAUCCAAAAUACAUAAAAAUACAUAAAGUGUACUUUAAAAUUAUGGGUCUUACAUUGCGCAAUUGCAUCGUUAUUAUCACAGUAAAGUCAAUCGGAUCCACAAAUGCCAAGAACUAUAUAUAGGUCAACAAUAGCUUUUUUACCAAACAACCUCCUUUGUUGCAUUAGAGGCAACAAUGUACUUGACCUUUGUAGUUGAAUCAACGUUUGUCUCCUACUUUGAACUCUUCGAACUCACAGCGCCACUAUUCAGACGAAACACAUAGCCAAACUGCGAUCUUGAGUCAUCUUUAUCAGUUUGGAAGUUAGCAUCAGUGUAACCCUUUAGGAUGAGUUCUUUCUCAUCACCAUACACUAAUCAAUGAAACCUUAGUCCUUCUCAAAUACUUUAGGAUGUUCUUAGCUGUGGUCCAGUGACCUUCACCGAUUUUCUCACGAGAAUCUAUAAGAGUUACAUGCAUAAAGUAUUGUUAGAUGAUUGAAUGAUUAAAUUUAAUAAGAUUUGAUUUAAUUAGAUGUUACUCACUAAAUAUGAUUUAUUAUUUAAUAUAUUUUUAAUUUAUGUAAUUGAAUAUGAUUUGGUUAAAUAAAUGAGGAUUGACAAUUAAUUCAAUUUAAUUAGACAUAGUUUAAUUUAAAAAUAAUUUAUAUUUAAUUAAAAUAGUUUAAUUUAAUAUCAUUUUUAGAACUUAUUUUGGCUUGAGCCCAAAAUAGGAGUUUUAAGGUUUUAGUGGCUCAUUCUCUAUAAAUAGAGGAAUGGUACACUCUCCAAGUAAUCAUGAUUGCCACUACCCUCAUAGAUUGACUAGCACCGCGUUCCGUUUUGUGCUCAUGUAGGCUAUGUAGAGAUGUAGAUAAUAUCCACGUUGGUGAUCAAAGUUAAAGCAUGAUUCAAAAGAGAUGUUUCGUGUUGGUGAUCUUUCUCCUCGAUGUUUUAAGAGGUAAACACAUAAACCCUUAUAGUAAAAUUUUGUGCUCACAUGAUCAUUGGCUAAAGGGGUUUUCUGCUCAUGACAAUGAUUUUAAAAAGGGUUCUUAAAGUCUAUCUCAAGAUUCCACAACAGUUGUUUCGUCAAGAUAUAAAUGGAUGCUAUUACUAGAAGGGAUUGUGCAAAUGAUCUUUGGCUUCCAAUAUUCUUGAGGUAUUUGUGUUUCAUAUUACAAUUUCCAACAGUUCAAACACUUUGUAAAUCAUCAUGAUAAGCAAAGGAAAACUCAAAAAAAAUUCUCAAGGGGAACCACGUGCCAUGAACCAACCGAUUUCCAUAUUUUUUGAAAGCUUUUGAUGUCAAUUUCAUAAAAUGAUUGGUGUAUUUCCUUUAGACAUUGUAACUCUACGAUGAAGGUUAUUCUUGUAAAUUGCCAAAACUAGUUGAUAUUCAUCUUCUCGAAUUUUGAUAGCACUUUUUGAUGUAGAGUUUUGAUAAUUAACUCAACUUAAUGGUGCAUGAAUUUUGGAGAGCUUGGGGCAAAAAUUUAACUAUGGAUUGUAGAGUGUUGACCGACCCAACUAUGUUGGUCGGAGGAGUUUUUGUGACAAUUGUAAGACCCAUAAUUUUAAAGUACCCUUUAUGUAUUUUUGGUGUAUUUUGGAUUUUGACUCGGAGGCUUUUUAGCCAAAGUUAAUAAUUAUUUGGAGUUUUUAUAUUCAAAAAGAUAUUUUGUUGCCGAUUAGAACUUCUCAUCGAUAAAUAAAUUGAAUUAACUGCGGUGAAUCCUUUACGAAUAAUUUAAUGCGUUUCGGGUGAAACGGUAAUUUAACAAAUAUCUAGAUGUUUUGAGAUAUUUGUUAAGUUACAUUUAUUAUCUAUGUAUGUUUGUUUGGAGGGAAAAAGAAAGGAAACCUAGAAGGGAGGAAAAGGAAAAGAAAAUAGUAUAAAAGGAAGGAAGGAAAAAGGAAGAAAGGAAAAAGAAAGGAAAGAAAAAGAAAGGAAAGAAAAAGAAAGGAAAGAAAAUCGCCAAUUUCCAUCUCCUUCCUCUGAACCGUGAACCGAUUUCCCUCCUUCUCCCGUUUUCAUUUUCGUCGCUUUCUUUUCUUCAAAACUAGUAACCCAAGGUUGGGUGAGAGUUAGAACAAGGAUUUCGCAACUCCACUCUUCCUCUUUGAUCCGAAAACGAAGAAAAACGGUAUUUGAGAUUCAAACACAAACCCCUCCGUUUCUUCUAGAUCCGAGCUUCAUUUAGCGAAGAGUUAGAAGGGAAAGUUGCUCACCACCACGCCACGGUGCUAGGGGACCAAUUUGGAGGCGACGUUGCGAGCAAAGAUUUUACCGGCUUUACUCGCGGUACUGGAAAACUACGUUGAAGCUAGCGUUAAGGUAAGGGCUCCUUCCAAACUUUUAGUUGCAUUAGGGACUUAUUUGUGGUUGUGUGGGAAGGAAUUUGUCAGGGUUCGAUGUAUUGAUUUGGGGAAAAACGAAUCUAAUGCGUUAUGGGUAAAACCUUAGAGUUAGGUUUUGGUUAUAUGGAUGAAUGUUCUGUGUUAAAUGAACCUAAAAUCACUUGUGUAUGAUUAUGAGUAAAUGAAAUUGAUGUGUUUGAGUGUUAUGUUGUGUUGAUUGUGUUCGUCGUGUUUGACGUGUUCUAAGUUAAUACCGAUGAAUUUGAUGUGUUUUGGUGGGCGUUGUGAAUUGAAUUUGAUAAAAUGUUUUGAGACGGAUUUGUUGUGAAAAUGGAAAACCAUUAGAGUUAAACGAGUAUUGAAAAUGGGGAAUUUUUUAAUACCUCGGUUUACUUAAUGUGCGUCUGAGGAAAAUGUUUAAGUUAACUGGGUAUUAAGAAUGGGGAAUCUCUUAAUGUCUCGGUUACUUAAUGUUUGUUUUGAAAAUCACUUCAGUAAAUGAGUAUUAAGAAUGGGGAAUCUCUUAAUGUCUCGUUUACUGAAUGUUUUGUGUGGAAAUCGUUUAAGUCAAAAGUAUAUUAAGAAUGGGGAAUCUCUUGAUAUGUCUGUUUGCUUAACGUUUUGUUUUGAAAAUCAUUAAGAUAAAUCAGUAUUAAGAAUGGGGAAUCUCUUAAUGACUUAUUUAUUUAAUGUUGUUUUGAAAAUCGCUUAAGUUAAAUGGGUAUUAAAAAUGGGGAAUCUUUUAAUAUCUGCAUUUGCUUAACGAUUGUUGUGGAUGGAGUCUGUGUAUGCUCAUGCAUUUCAUUUUGGUAAAUUGUGUUGACCCGUGAUAGGUGACACCUUGGUAAACUGUACUGACCCGUGAUAUGUGGUACGUUUACGAUUUCCGUUUUUGGUAAAUUGUGCUGACCCGUGAUAGGUGGCACCUCUGUAAACAAUACUGGUCUGUGAUAGGCAGUACGUUUACGAUUCCCGCUUUUUCUUUUAGUAAAUCGUGUUGACCCGUGAUAGGUGACACCUCGGUAAACUGUACUGACCCGUGAUAGGUGGUACGUUUAUGAUUUACGCAUUUUAGUAAAUCGUGCUGACCCGUGAUAGGUGGCACCUAGGUAAACAAUACUGGUCUGUGAUAGGCGGUACGUUUACGAUUCCCGCUUUUUCUUUUAGUAAAUCGUGUUGACCCGUGAUAGGUGACACCAUGGUAACUGUACUGACCCGUGAUAGGUGGUACGUUUAUGAUUUACGCAUUUUAGUAAAUCGUGCUGACCCGUGAUAGGUGGCACCUAGGUAAACAAUACUGGUCUGUGAUAGGCGGUACGUUUACGAUUCCCGCUUUUUCUUUUAGUAAAUCAUGUUGACCCGUGAUAGGUGACACCAUGGUAACUGUACUGACCCGUGAUAGGUGGUACAUUUACGAUUUACAUUUUUGGUGAAUUGUGCUGACCCGUGAUAGGUGGCACCUAGGUAAACAGUACUGGUCUGUGAUAGGCGGUACGUUUACGAUUCCCGCUUUUUCUUUUAGUAAAUCGUGUUGACCCGUGAUAGGUGACACCAGAUUGCCAAAUCGAUUGAUUCAGCCCAGGAUUCUGUUUUCAUUAAAAAACCUUCACCCCAAUCGAUUUCCCAAUCGAUUGGCUCAGUGAAAAUCCUCAGUUUGAGUUAGAUGAUUGAUUACUCACUAACUUAUCCAUGUCUUGUUUUGUUAUGUGUUAAUUAGGAGAUGGAGAACUUCAUUUUACUUUCAUUUUAAUUGGCAAAGUAUUGUAUGUACUUUUCGCAUAUUGAAAAUCCUGUUAAGGUGCAUGCUUAGUUGAAAAGUCAUUUUGAGCAUUUAAAAACUUAAUUGCUAUGUGUUAACUGUUAUUUUUGGUUGGUGACCCUUUACAAUUAUUGUGGAAAUCUGGGCUUUGCCCUUAGAUGAGAGUCAGGACGGUCCUACCGGUUAGUACCCUACGGACGGGAAUGGAGAUGGGAACGCUUCACUGCUGUUACGUUAAGAGGAUCUCACGGGGCGCGUGGUGAUACUCAGGGUGUAUAGCUUUUUGGUAGGAUGAUUAGAUUAGGAUGAUGUAUAGGGACUAGGUGUCCUUCUUUUUGGAUUGGAGUAUUCUUAGUUUGGAAAACUGUACUUAUACUAAUAUUGUCAGUUUGACUUCUUAUUUGAAUGGGUCCCAAGUACCAUUUGUUGUUGUGUAAAUGUCUUGGAAUUUAUAAUUGGAGAAACUUUUCCACUGCUUGUAAAUUUUAAUGACUCAAUUAUUUAUCCAAAGGCAUUUUCUUGUUUAUUUCUCAGUAUCAGUUUAAUUUCUUUUGAAAAAAAAAAUAUACCCUCGCUUUGAAAAACGGGGUGUUACAACAAUCCUUGCAAGCAUAAGUCAUGAAGAACAUACCAUAUGCGUUAUUUAUGCAUGACAACAAUUGACGAGAGAACCAUAAUGUCAACCCCAACAGCAACCGACAACUCAACAACAAUGACAACAAGAAACCAAAUGGAAAACAAAUGGAACCAUCAAUUAGAUUAAAUAAACCAAAUGUGAAUUAGAAGCCAACAUCAAUAGAGUGUCCAAACACGAAUCAAAAGCCAAACUUGAAUCAUAAUCCAAACACAAAAACAAAAACUAAACGUGAACACAAAUGCGAAAAUAGUUUCAACGCAUGAUGCGAAUUACAAAUUAAAUCUUAGUUAGAUUGACAAUAAAAGAAAACAAAGGUAAUACUAUUUUUACUAAAUUAUCCUCUGAUCAAAUAAUUUGGGCACAUGUUUUUAACUUUUUACUGUGGCAUUUUAAAAGCGUUGUAUAGCUUAGAUUAAUUUUUUUAGCUUGUUUUUAAACUUUGGGUCGAAUUGAAUUUGAAUUUUAUUAUUUACAUAUUAACUCAUGUUAGCGAUGUAGACCAUAACUUGAGCUCUGUUGGAAUAAAAACUCAAUGCUGAACUUUGUUGGGUCUAAAUUGCAUAUUUCAUUUUCUGGGUUUUUAUUUAUUACUAGUUUUAAGUAGCGAGCUUUAACGCCCCGAUUUUUAACAGCGCGAGUGUAUUUUUUUUUCAAAACAAAUUCAUAAUAACUAGGGAUGGGAAUAGGCUAGGCCGUCCGACAGGGGCCUAUGGCCUGACCUACUUACGGCCUGGCCUGGCCUGGCCUGUUUAAUAAAAAGGUCAGGCUCAGGCUGUUUUUAAAGCCUAUUUAUGUAAAUAGGCCAGGCUCAGGCUUGGAAAAAAGCUUAUUAAGCCUGACAAGCCGGCCUAUAUAUAUUUUAUAUGUAUUUCAUUCUCUAUUUUUUCUUCUUCUAAUUUCCAUUGCACUCACUCCAACAAACAUGUAUGAAAACAACAUAUUUUUUUUAUAAAAACCGAUAUUAUUUAUUUGUUACUUUAUAUUUUAUAAAAACCAAUACUAUUUAUUUGUUAUCUUUAUAUAUAUUAUUAGUAUAUAAAUUUAGAAACUCUAAUUGUUUAUUAUUACUGAAUAUGAGUUUGUUUGAGAGGUAAUAUUCCGAGUUGUUUGAGAGGAUUUGUUUAGAGGUAAUAUUCUGAGCUGUUUGAGAGAUAAUAAUAGGUGUGUUUGUUUAAAUAAAAAAUUUAUUCUUUUAAAUCAAAAACUAUUUUGUAGGGUUUAAAAGGUAUUUGUUUCAUAUUUUUAAAAAAUUAUUUUGUUAGAAAAUAAUUUUUUUAUUUAAUAUAUAUAUACAUAUACUAUACAUAUACACAUUAGUAUUGGUAUAUGGAGAAUCAUAUAAAUCGAUAUGUGUAGAGUAUCAUGUAGCUAUAGAUAAUUGUUUAUUUAUUACCUUUAUAUAUAUAUAUAUAUAUAUAUAUAGCAUGAGAGGAUUUGUUUGAGAGGUAAUAAUCUGAGUUUAUUUGAGACCAUUUGUUUGAGAGAUAAUAAUGGGUGCGUUUGUUUUAAUAAAAAAUUUAUUCUUUUAAACCAAAAAUCAUUUUUUAGGGUUUAAAGGGUGUUUGUUUCAUAUUUUUUUUUUAAAUUAUUUUGUUAGAAAAAUUAUUUUUAAUGUAAAUAAGGCUUUUAAAUAGGCUUAUAGGCCAGGCCAUGAUAGGCCGUAGGCCAGGCCAGGCUUAGGCCUAAAAAAUUCUUCGUAGGCCAGGCUCAAGCCUUUCAAAGCCUGGCCUGGCCUGGCCUAUUCCCACCCCUAAUAAUAACAAAGAAAUAAAUAAGGAAAUACUUUUGGAUAAAUAUUUAAGUCGUAACACAACGACAAAUAAGUCAACAGAAUUCACAAGCAGCGAAAUAGUUUUUGAAAUAUGAGUCCAAAGUAUUUACACAACAGCCAGUGAUACAUGGAAUCCAUUAACAUAAGAUGUCGUGCUGACAAUANNNNNNNNNNNNNNNNNNNNNNNNNNNNNNNNNNNNNNNNNNNNNNNNNNNNNNNNNNNNNNNNNNNNNNNNNNNNNNNNNNNNNNNNNNNNNNNNNNNNNNNNNNNNNNNNNNNNNNNNNNNNNNNNNNNNNNNNNNNNNNNNNNNNNNNNNNNNNNNNNNNNNNNNNNNNNNNNNNNNNNNNNNNNNNNNNNNNNNNNNNNNNNNNNNNNNNNNNNNNNNNNNNNNNNNNNNNNNNNNNNNNNNNNNNNNNNNNNNNNNNNNNNNNNNNNNNNNNNNNNNNNNNNNNNNNNNNNNNNNNNNNNNNNNNNNNNNNNNNNNNNNNNNNNNNNNNNNNNNNNNNNNNNNNNNNNNNNNNNNNNNNNNNNNNNNNNNNNNNNNNNNNNNNNNNNNNNNNNNNNNNNNNNNNNNNNNNNNNNNNNNNNNNNNNNNNNNNNNNNNNNNNNNNNNNNNNNNNNNNNNNNNNNNNNNNNNNNNNNNNNNNNNNNNNNNNNNNNNNNNNNNNNNNNNNNNNNNNNNNNNNNNNNNNNNNNNNNNUGGGGCUAAAUCAAUCGAUUGGGAAAUCGAUUGAAUGAAUAACUGAGCCCCUGUGUUAAAGCCAAUCGAUUAGGAAAUCGAUUUCCUGAGAGUUUUUCGUGAAAACUGUACUCUGGGCUUAAUUCAAUCGAUUGGGAAAUCGAUUGAGUGAAUAACUGAGCCCUUGUAUUAAAGCCAAUCGAUUUCCAAAUCGAUUUUGUCAAAAUGGCUGAGCUCCUGUAAUGAAUCCAAUCGAUUGCCAAAUCGAUUUUGAGGAAUAGCUUUUAGUAGAAUCGAUUUGGGAAUCGAUUUCCCUGCAUGUUUUUCUUAAAACUACAUAAACUAACUCAAUCACAUUCACACACAACUCCAAAACAUAACACUUAGCAAUUUCCACACAAUCACCACGACAACUUGAGUUUCGAAACAAUUUUACAAUCAAUUUCACUUAUACACAAUUUGUUCCACAACAUAGACACUUAGUACAAUCAUCACAAUCACAAUUGUAAGACCCAUAAUUUUAAAGUAUACUUUAUGUACUUUAGUGUAUUUUGGUAUUGAACUCGGAGGCUUUUUAGCCAAAGUUAUUAAUAUUUUGGAGUUUAUAUGACCAAAGAGAUAUUUUGAUGCCGAUUAGAAUUACUCGUCGAUGAAUGAAUUAAAUUAGUUGCGGUGAAUUAUUUACGGAGAAUUUAAUGCCUUACGGGUGAAAUGGUAAUUUUAAUAAAUAUCUAGAUAUUUGGAGAUAUUUGUUAAAAGUAAUUAAUAUAAAUAUAUAUAUUAUAUAUAUAUAUAUAUAUAUAUAUAUAUAUAUAUAGUUGGAGGGAUAUAGGAGAAAAGGAAAUAGAAAAGAAAGGAAAGGAAAUAGAAAGGAAAGAAAGAGAGAGGAGAGAAAACAAUUUUCCAUCUUCUUCCAUCUGUCGCUCCACCCAUUCUUCCUCCUUCUUCCAUCUUCAUCUUCUUUGCUUCCUUUUUGUUCAAGAAUAGAAACCCAAGGCUAGUGGGUGAGAAAGAUCAAGUUUCCAACACCUUCCUCCUUCCCGGAUUCAAAAACGAUGUUAUGGAUUUCAAAACCGUCAAACACAAACCUCCCUGUUUAAUCUAGAUCUAAGCUUCGUUUCGCGAAGAGAUAGAAGGGAAAGUUGCUCACUACCACGCUACGGUGCUAGGGAACCAACUUUGGAAGCGGCGUUGCGAACGGAGAAUUUACCGGAUUUACUCGCGGUACCAUGUUCGCACGUUAAAGCUAACGUUAAGGUAAGGACUCCUUCCAAACUUCUAGUUUGCAUUUAGGGACUUAUCUGUAGUUGUGUGGAAAGGAAUUUGUUAGGGUUGAAUGUAUUGAUUUAAGGAAAAUGAAUCUAAGGUUCUGUGGGUAAAAUCUUAGAGUUAGGUUUUGACGAUAUUGAUGGAUAUUUCGUGGAAAAUGAAUUUAACUCAUAUGUGUAUGAUUAUGAGUAAAUGAAAUUUGAUGUGUUUGAGUGUUAUGUUAUGUUGAUUUGUGUUCGUCGUAUUUGACGUGUUCUACGUUAAUACCGAUGAAAUUUGAUGUGUUUUGGUGUGGAUUGUGAAUUGAAUUUGAUAAUAUCUUUGAGUUGGCUUUGUUGUGGAAUUUGAAAACCAUUAGAGUUAAACGAGUAUUAAAAAUGGGGAAUCUUUUAAUACCUCGGUUUACUUAAUGUGUGUUUGAGAAAAUCGUUUAAGUUAAACGAGUAUUAAGAAUGAGGAAUCUCUUAAUGUCUACGUUUACUUAAUGUUGGCGUGAAAACCAUUAGAGUUAAACGAGUAUUAAAAAUGGGGAAUCUUUUAAUAUCUCGGUUUACUUAAUGUGUGUUUGAGAAAAUCGUUUAAGUUAAACGAGUAUUAAGAAUGAGGAAUCUCUUAAUGUCCACGUUUACUUAAUGUUGGCGUGAAAACCAUUAGAGUUAAACGAGUAUUAAAAAUGGGGAAUCUUUUAAUAUCUCGGUUUACUUAAUGUGUGUUUGAGAAAAUCGUUUAAGUUAAACGAGUAUUAAGAAUGGGGAAUCUCUUAAUAUUUCUGUUUACUUAAAGUUUGUGUUGAAAAUCGUUUAAGUCAAAAGAGUAUUAAGAAUGGGGAAUCUCUUAAUAUUUCUGUUUACUUAAAGUUUGUGUUGAAAAUCGUUUAAGUCAAAAGAGUAUUAAGAAUGGGGAAUCUCUUAAUAUUUCUGUUUACUUAAAGUUUGUGUUGAAAAUCGUUUAAGUCAAAAGAGUAUUAAGAAUGGGGAAUCUCUUAAUGUCUACGUUUACUUACCGUGGUAAUCGUGUAGGAAUUGCUAAGUGUUAGGUUGUGAACUUGAUUAGGAAUGACUUGAGUUAAUGCAUGAAUUUUUGGAAAAACGAUCAGGGAAAUCGAUUUCCCAAUCGAUUGGAUGAGUUGCAGGAAGUUCACCAUUUUGACCUAAUCGAUUUGCCAAUCGAUUGUAUAAAUAUAUCUUUCAAAAUCUUUUAAGAAAUCGAUUUGGAAAUCGAUUGGCAGAGAGGCAGGAACUCAGCAAAACUGCCGAAAUCGAUUUGGAAAUCGAUUUGGCAACCCAGGGACUCAUCAGAACUGACAAAAUCGACUUAGAAAUCGAUUUGGUCAUGCAGAAACUCAGCAGAACUGACCAAAUCGAUUUGGCAAUCGAUUGGCUCAGCAAAAGUCCUUAUUUUGAGUUAGAUAAUCGAUUGCUCAAUUGAUUUAUCAAUGCUUUGGUCAGUUAUGUAUUACUUGAUGGUUUGAGAACUUCAUUUUGAUUUCAUUUUUAAUUGGCAAGCAUUACAUGAACUUUUAGCAUAUGAGAAAUCCUUUUAAGGUGCAUGCUUAGUUGAAAGAUUAUUUUGUGCAUUUAAAACUUAAAUGUUAUGUGUUAUUUGUUAAUUUCGGUUGGUGACCCUUUACAACUAUUGUGGAAAUCUGAGCGUGGAGAUCACUCAGGGUGUAUAGUUUUUGGUAGGAUGAUCAGAUUAGGUUGAUGUAUAGGGACUAGACGUCCUUCUUUUUGGGUUGGAGUAUUUUAAUUUGGAAAACUGUACUUAUACUAAUAUUGUCAGUUUGACAUCUUAUUUGAAUGGGUUCCAUGUACCAUUUGUUGUUGUGUAAAUGCUUUGGAUUUAUAUUUGGAGAAACUUUUCCGCUGCUUGUAAAUUAUAAUGACUCUAUUAUUUAUCCAAAGGCAUUUCCUUAUUUAUUUCUCUGUUUUAGUUUAAUUUCUUUUGAAAAAAAAAUACACCCUCGCAUUGAAAAUCUGGGUGUUACAACAAUGACAUCUCAAGUUCAAACACUCAAUCAUACACUUGAAUCAAACACGACUCGUGUGUCAAGCAUCCUAAUGCAAUGCGUAUAUGCCAAAAUGCAUGGACUCGGAAUUCCAAACCAAAACCCUCCUCGAAGGGCCGUAAAUCAUAAUUGUACCGCCUAUCGCAGGCCAAAGUACCAAUUACCGAGGUACCACCUAUCACGGGUCUGCACGAUUUACUAAAAAGCGUAAACCAUAAACGUACUGCCUAUCACGGGCACGUACCGUUUACCGAGGUGCCACUUAUCACGGGUCUGCACGAUUUACUAAAAAGAACGUAAAUUAUAAAUGCACCGCCUAUCACAGACCAAAGUGCUAUUUACCAAGGUGCCACCUAUCACGGGUCUGCACAAUUUACAAAAACGUAAAUCAUAAAUGUACCGCCUAUCACAGGCCAAAGUACUAUUUAUCAAGGUGCCACCUAUCACGGGUGUGCACGAUUUACAAAAAGAAUGAAAAUGCAUUGAGCAUAUACUGACUCCAUCCACAACAAUNNNNNNNNNNNNNNNNNNNNNNNNNNNNNNNNNNNNNNNNNNNNNNNNNNNNNNNNNNNNNNNNNNNNNNNNNNNNNNNNNNNNNNNNNNNNNNNNNNNNNNNNNNNNNNNNNNNNNNNNNNNNNNNNNNNNNNNNNNNNNNNNNNNNNNNNNNNNNNNNNNNNNNNNNNNNNNNNNNNNNNNNNNNNNNNNNNNNNNNNNNNNNNNNNNNNNNNNNNNNNNNNNNNNNNNNNNNNNNNNNNNNNNNNNNNNNNNNNNNNNNNNNNNNNNNNNNNNNNNNNNNNNNNNNNNNNNNNNNNNNNNNNNNNNNNNNNNNNNNNNNNNNNNNNNNNNNNNNNNNNNNNNNNNNNNNNNNNNNNNNNNNNNNNNNNNNNNNNNNNNNNNNNNNNNNNNNNNNNNNNNNNNNNNNNNNNNNNNNNNNNNNNNNNNNNNNNNNNNNNNNNNNNNNNNNNNNNNNNNNNNNNNNNNNNNNNNNNNNNNNNNNNNNNNNNNNNNNNNNNNNNNNNNNNNNNNNNNNNNNNNNNNNNNNNNNNNNNNNNNNNNNNNNNNNNNNNNNNNNNNNNNNNNNNNNNNNNNNNNNNNNNNNNNNNNNNNNNNNNNNNNNNNNNNNNNNNNNNNNNNNNNNNNNNNNNNNNNNNNNNNNNNNNNNNNNNNNNNNNNNNNNNNNNNNNNNNNNNNNNNNNNNNNNNNNNNNNNNNNNNNNNNNNNNNNNNNNNNNNNNNNNNNNNNNNNNNNNNNNNNNNNNNNNNNNNNNNNNNNNNNNNNNNNNNNNNNNNNNNNNNNNNNNNNNNNNNNNNNNNNNNNNNNACCUUAACAAAUUCUUUUCCACACAACCACAGAUAAGUCCCUAAAUGAAAACUAGAAGUUUGGAAGGAGCCCUUACCUUCACAUUAGCUUUAACGUGCAAUUACGGUACCGCGAGUAAAUCCGGUAAAAUCUCCGUUCGCAACGUCGCUCCAAAGUUUGUUCCCUAGCCCCGUAGCGUGGUAGUGAACAAAUUUCCCUUCUAUCUCUUUGUGAAACGAAGCUUAGAUCUAGAUGAAACGGUGAGGUUUGUGUUUGACGGUUUUGAAAUCCCUAACACCAUUUUUCUUCGUUUUCGAAACAACGAGGAAGUAUGAAGCUGAGAAAUCUUUGCUUUCUUACCCACUAAGCCUUGGGUUUCUAUUCUUGAACAAAAGGAAGAAGCAAAAAUGAAAAUGGAAGAAGGAGGAAGAAGGGGGUCACGCGAGGCAAAGGAAAAAGAUGGAUUUUGCUUUCUUGCUUUCUUUCCCUUUUCCUUUCUUUCUUUUUCCUUCCUUUCUAUUUCUUUUCUUUCUAUUUCCUUCUCUUUUCCCUCCACACAAACAUAUAUAUAUAUAUAUAUAUAUAUUAAUUACUUUUAACAAAUAUCUCCAAAUAUCUAGAUAUUUAUUAAAAUUACCAUUUCACCCAUAAGGCAUUAAAUUCUUCGUAAAGGAUUCACCGUACUUAAUUUAAUUUAUUUAUCGACGAGUAAUUUUAAUCGAGCAUCAAAUAUCUUUUUGGUCAUAUAAACUCAAAAAUAUUAAUAACUUUGGCUAAAAAGCCUCCGAGUUCAAUACCAAAAUACACUAAAAUACAUAAAGUAUACUUUAAAAUUAUGGGUCUUACACGGGCCAUUUGUUUUACAAGUCCAAAAACUGAGAACAAAGUAUAAGGUUAAGCAGUGGGCCAUUUGUUUCAUAAGACUAAUCAAUGAGUUCAAAGUUUUAUCAACACCUUGAGAUUCAGGUUACACUGUUAAUUUUGCUUCAUGAUUCUAUUUAUGUUUAUUUGAUUAUAUUGAUAUUCUAAUUGUGAUGCUUAAUCUAGUCAAAGAAAUCGAAUUCACAUAGGAUUGAUUACGCUUGUUUGAUCAAUUCUAUAGUCAAAUAAGAAAUAGAGUCACAAUUUAGAAAUUAAAUUCGUUGGUAGAAUCUAUAAUAAGUUUGAAACUCUCGAAAUAGUGGAUUAAUAAUUUUUUUAAUCUGUUCGAACAAAAAAUCUAAAAACCCCUUUUUUAAUUAUGACUUUCAAUUUGGCUAAUAUUAUCAUAUCAUUAGUCCAUACAAAAUACUUGAAUUAUUACAUUUAUCUACAUUUUAUCACUUGUAUUUGACCUGUGUGCGACACCAGAUUAUCCUCUUCAUGCAUUGAUGUGUUGACCAUUAUCAUAAAUACAAAGUAUAUAUAUUACUUGAGUGUGGGGCACAUACUAUUAAUAAGAGUAUGAUUCGGACUACAGUCAUUAAUAUCAUAUUUAAAAUUUAAAGUGAUAUUUAUUUUCAAUUAAUUUUGUUUUGCAAAAGUGAUGAUUAUAGUGUAACAAAGGAUAGUAUUAAAAUUUUGGCUGCCUUGGAUUUCAAAAAUCUACUUCUAUUUUCCAAGCGAUGCUGAUAUGCUUUAUUACCAUAUCAAUAUUACAAAAUCUACAUGUUUAAACAGAGAACAAGAAAGAACAAGAAAAUGCGGAAGUUAAAAUAUGAGUUACUAAUAAUUAGGGGUAGGAAUAGGCCAGGUCAAGUCAGACUUUGAAAUGCCUGAGUUUGGCCUACAAUAAAUUCUUUAGGCCUAAGUCUGACCUAUGACCUAUCAUGGACUUUUUUUUCGGUCUGCUCUAUCCUUUUUAAAAGUCUGACCUGACAUAAAAGCCAAUUUAAAAGCCUUAUUCACAUUAAAACAUUUAAAUAUUAUACUUUACAUUUUUUUAAAUAUGCUAAACUAGGACUUUAUAUACAAAAAAAACUAAUCAAAUUAUAAUCAAAUCUAAUAAAAUAAUACUUAAUCAAUGCAACAACUUUUGAAGAAAAAAAUGAUUCUAUAAUUAGUCCAUAUACACAUAUCAAGCAACAUGAUGCUCUAUCCUUACCAAUUUACAUGAUGCUCUACCCAUACCAAUUUACAUGAUGCUCUCCACAUACCAAUACUAAUGUACAUAUGUAUAGAUAUAUAUAUAUAUAUAUAUAUAUAUAUAUUCUGGAGAUUUAUUUUUUUUUUUUUAUAUAAAAAAAAAAAAGAAUAAAUAUUAAACAAAAAAUGAUUUUUGUAACAAAGUGAUUUUAAAAAAUUCUGAAACUAACACCAUUUAAACCCUAAAAUAUGAUUUUUGAUUACAAAGAAUAGAUUUUUUUUUCAUUAAACAAACGCACCCAUUAUUACCUCUCAAACAAAUUCUCUCAAAAAAACUCGGACAUAUUCAGUAAUAAUAUAAUUAAUUUUAUUAUCAACUCUAAAACACUUCUAAAGGGACUGCACCUAUUUUAUGCAUUUUUUUACUAUUUUUUACAAACUCACAUAUACUAGUUUGAUUUAUGAUUUAUUUUUAUUUAUAAAACCUAAAUCUAGAACAACUUCAAUGGAGUUUCUAGAAAAGUGUUAACAGAUUUUACAAAGGCUAACUUUAUUUAAGGAUACAAUGAUAAAAUUAAAAAAAAAAUUAAGAUUUUGAAGUAGUAAAUAUUGAAAUCUUUCAUAGUAUAAUAAUUAAAUAAUAAUAUGAACGAUUGAACUUGAAAAGAACGGGAGAAGAAAAGGACAGGGAUAAUAAUGAAUGGCUAUUGGAUGUGGAACGACCAUUGAGUGAUAGCCUAAUUGAUAUAUUGAUAUAGGCUUUAAAAUAGGAAUAAUAUUAUUAAUAAACAAUAAUAAAAAAAAGAACAUUAAUAAAUAAUAAAAUAUAUAUAGGUCGGCCUGUCAGGUAUGAAAGACUUUUUUAUACGUUUGAAUUUGCCCUAUUUAAAUAAAUAGGCUUUAAAAAUAGUUUGAACCUAACAUUUUUAUUAAACAGGCCAGACCAGACCAUAACUAGGCUGACCGCAAACCCCUAAAUGACGGUCUAACCUAUUCCCACCCCCUACUGACCAUUAAUAAUGUUUAUUUUUUCCUUUGCAAAAAUGCAAUAGAUAGGCCAAAGAUUUACUUUUAAGAAAAAAAACAUUAAUUAUUUUGUGAGAAUAUAAUAAAAAAUUAUAGGUUGGAUCAUCACAUAUUACAACAUUACAAAAUGCAUUUGCAUAGCUUUUGAAACUAUAGUUAUGCAUGUUUAUAAAUAAUUUGGUUGAAACAUUUAGCUCUUCAAUGUAUAAAAAGACAGAUGAAGUGACUUCUUUGCAGACAAUUAUAUGAAAAGAAAAAGAAAAAGAAAUAUUAAGUAAUUAGUGUGCUAUUAGUUCCCCGAUAUUUUUUUUAUUAUCUUUAAUUGUAAUAUGUAUUUUAACUUAUAUAAAUAAAUGCUAAAAAAAUCUAAAAAGAGUAUAUAAUAGUUAGAAGGCCGUAAAUUUUUAUAUAAGUCAAACCGCUUUAUACAAAGCCUAUUUAAUUUACUAUAGACACAUGGUGUAGCAAAAUAGAACAUAAAUUUAUACUUAAAUAUGAUUUAUUAAAGUAUUUGUGAUUACAAAUGACCUAAAAGAUCAAUAAGUAGCAACACAAUUUUAUUUAUUUGUAAAUUUGGAGUAAAAGAGCAUAAUUUUUUAAUCAUGAUUUCAUUCAUGACACAUUGGUAACUUGUUCCUCUUAUUAAAUAGAUAUUAAUAUGUUUUGUUGCAUGGAUAAUUUAGAAAUGGAUUUGACAUUUGGGGGAUUUUAAUGUCUGUUAAAAAAACGUGUUUUACGUCUUGGUGGAGGGGGAUGCCAUGGAAUAUGGGGAGUAUGCUUUGCAGGAGGGGGAGAGCGCCUGCGUAAGCGGUCGCGUAAACCUUGCCAAUUAAUGUCGAGUUGUCCUUUUAUGUCGUAAUUAGGUGGUUUAGGAAUUGGUGUCUUGGAGAUUUUUGGGCUUACAUCAGCAAGUCCUUGUGAAACAAGGAUAAGAGCCGCAAGGAACAACAUUAGUAAGGUUAAGAAAUUCGAAACCAUUUUCAUAAGUUGUUUUAAUGUUUCUACAUUACAUAUAAAGAAUAAUCAUAUUUUAUACUAGUUUGUAGCCCAAAUGGGUUUGCAAUGUCUCAAUCUGAGUUAUAUGUGUUGUCCUUUAUUAUCAUUGGCUCUCAACACAUGUUAGUCUUUUCUAUUAAUUCAACACCAUAUUUUAGGACCAAAAAGAUACAUUAACUAUUAUUGAUAGAGUAAAAUUAAAAUUUACAUUAAUUUAAAAUUGGAUUUUAUUUGUAUAUAUGAUUAUUCGAAACCAUAUUAGCCAUAUAGAAAUUUGUUGAUAUAUUUUAGAAGCUAACUUAAAAAAAUUAAAAUAGCGUUAAAGUGUAAUUUAAUUGGAGACAUUGUUUACGUAAUUAAAUGUUACAUUUUUUAUUUUUGUAUUCAACUUAAAAAAUUAAUAUCUAUAGCUGCGAAUAAAAGAUAUCUACUUUAAUUAUACAAAAAUACAUAAUCGUUCAAUUUAUUGAUUCAAUGCGACGUUAACAAUAAAAUAGAAUAAAGACUUAUUGCAACAAAUAGGAUUAGCUACAAGGCUAAACCUACGUCGCAAAAGGUUGGGUGAAAAAUAUAAUAUUGAUAUUUAUGCAACUAUAUUCCAACCCGUUCUACCUUAGUCUUAUUUUUUAUUAAUCGCUUCAAAUCACCCAUGAAACUUCGAAAUGCAAACUUCCACCAAUAUUAAACUGGUUCCCUGGGCAUAACUUCGUAAGGUUAACUUUGGUCAAUGAGUUUAAAACAUUGUUUGAAAAUAAACUAAAUACAAUCCGAAGUAAGGGUUCCAUGAAAACAUGAUGAGCACACUAUAUCAAAAUAUGGAUUUUAUAGCACAUCUUUAAUAGCGAUUGUUAAAUAAAAAUAUUGUUGUAUUAUGUUUUAAAAAUACACGGAGUCUUAGACAAUGUUUUUUUGAAAAGCAAUGUCAUAUGUACUAAUAACAAAGCCUUUAACAACGUUUUUUUAUAAAAGCGCUGACAUAUGAUCAUAAUAUUUAAAGUGUUUUUGUUAUAAGUGUUGUCAUAGUGUAUUUUAACGUGCUUAUCAAAAAAGCAAUGUCAUAGGAUCUCAUAAAGUUUUUACUUUUUAAAGUCUCACUUUUAAUUUUAUGCAUGUAAUUGGUUUUAUUCACCAAACCCUCUAUGCGAACUAAUUUCUUCACUUUAUUUGUGAACUCUCCCAAACCCUUUUUGAAAAGUAGUUUCUUCACCUAAUAACUGGUUUUGGUUUUCUUUACCAAACCUUAAUUUUGUCGUCGCAUCUUUGUUGGGGAGUCAAUGGGAGCGCGACAUCCGGAAUGAGCUAAAUAUCAAGGAUUCUUAAGAGACUUAGACACCACAUCUCAACCCAAAACCUUAAGGCAUUAGGUUCAUAGGUCAUUCUCCUUAUAUAUCCAAUAUAGCCUUCAUUCCUAGUCAAUGUGGGACUAAACAUCAAGGAUUCUUAAGAGACUUAGACACCACAUCUCAACCCAAAAUCUUAAGGCAUUAGGUUCACGGGUCAUUCUCCUUAUAUAUCCAAUAUAGCCUUCAUUUCUCGCCAAUGUGGGACUAACCAUUCAUAAUUGAAUUCCAACAAAUCUCCCCCUCGAUUAUGAGUUCCCACCACUGGACUUGAUCCAAGUCCUUUUUGCUCUUGAUCCACUUGAUGCAAAAGGUGGGUCAAGAAUAGAGUCUAAGAGAUCAAACUCCCUUUUCACCGUACAUCAGAGGCAGUUGAUGAAACACUGAUGCAACCCACUAUUACUAUAAGUGCAGAGGUACGCCUAAAAGGGAGAGGGGUGAAUUAGGUUUUAGGAUAUUUUCUUGUUUUCAGUGAUAUGGUAGUUGAAUUUUCAGAGUUAAUAUAAUGACUAAUAAUAAGUAAGUGCGGUAAAUAAAUGAACACACUAGAAUUAUCCUAGUUCCCCUUCUAACCAAGGGUACGUCUAGUCCUCUUGCACACCACACGAGAUUACUCCACUUAUUGUCAGAAAAUGUACAAUGAUUUCAAUCCAAUAAUACUUCAAGUACUUUGAGAAUCUUUCAGAAGGAUAUGAAACUAAAAUGCAAGUACUUUGUAAAAAACAAAAUUUUGUUCAAAGUUAUUCAUGGUAUUGAUUCAAGGAUUGUGUUGUGUUUGAUAUGAAGUUAUGGCGUAUUUAUACUCCAUAAACAUCUCUUUAGAUUCGUGGUAAAUGAUCCAAGAGGUUUGAUGAACAAAUACAAUGAUAUAGAGCCAUUUCAUAUCUGAAAAAUUGUAUUGCUUCCAGUUGUAUUCGAUUACAGGAUGUGUGUAUUCGAAUACACCUCUUUGUAACGUUCAAAUUUAUUCAAAAUUUGCACCUUGUAUUUGAAUACACCUUUCAUGUAGUCGAUUACAGAUACGUGAAAUUUUCUACUGACUUACUUUGUAUUCGAAUACACCUCUUGUGUUAUGUUUGAUAUGAAGUUAUGGCGUAUUUAUACUCCAUAAACAUCUCUUUAGAUUCGUGGUCAAUGAUCCAAGAGGUUUGAUGAACAAAUACAAUGAUAUGGAGCUAUUUCAGAUCUGAAAAAUUGUAUUGCAUCCAGUUGUAUUUGGAUACAGGAUGUGUGUAUUCGAAUACACCUCUUUAUAACUUUCAAAUUUAUUCAAAAUUUGCACCUUGUAUUUGAAUACACCUUUCAUGUAGUCGAUUACAUAUACGUGAAAUUUUCUACUGACUUACUUUGUAUUCGACUACAGAAGGUCGUAGUCGAAUACAGAUGCAAAGAUUUUAGCCACUAAAUUGCUAUGUAUUCGACUACAGAUGGUCGUAGUCGAAUACAAAUGUGAGGCUUUUUCUUCUGACUUACUUUGUAUUCGACUACAGCAUGCUGUAUUCGAAUACCUUUUGUAUUUUGUCAAAAAUAUUUGUUUUAAGACUUUGUUAAUGUGAUUUUGACUUUUGAAAAUACUUUAUAUGCAUAUGUAAAUAUGAAUGGUUCUCAUGUAUUUGAGGUAUUUGUUUGUAUCGUUUACCUUUACAUGUAAACACCUAAUAUGUUUGGAUUUAAAGCUUUUAUUAAUGAAGAUAUUUGAACUUCUUUUUGAGCUUGUUGCUUUGAUCAUAAUUGUUGAUCUUUGCCGUCAUAAAAAACAUGUAGUUUACAAUUACUAGUGAAGAGAUUGAAAGGUUGCAAACAUCAAUUCUAGAUGGGGAAGAAGAAAACAAGAAUUUUCGAGAAGAAUUGGUCAUCGAGCAUAUGAGACCGCCCAGAUGGAAAAUGAGCAGAAGACAAUUUCCCUUAAAAGAUCAAAUACGACGGCAAAUGUGGAGGAAGAUUUUUGGCUCAAGUGUCAACACAAUUUAAGGAUCUCUUACGUGUCCUUAUGUUUGAGAUGAGAAGAAAGAGACCAAGCACGAGAGAAUGUUGAUAAAUUGUAAAAUUGGUUUAAAGAUUCAUAAAUCAGUGAGAAAAAUGAAUAAAGACAAUUGAAAUAUUCGAAACAACAAUUGAAGAAAGCGGUAGUAGAAUAUAAGAUAAGGAUAGAAGAACCAAAUAAUGAAAGACAAGAAAUGGUUGUCAUGUACCAAGAUACAAGGAUGACGGAACAAGAAGAGGUAAAUAUGUUCAGGAUCCGAAUGAUGGAUCAAGUGAAAGCAAUAAAGAUAUUUUGGCAAUACGGGUUAAUGUGGAUGGAUCGUUGCGAAAAACUCUCUUUCAUUGCCAACCAAGCCAUAAAAAAGGUCCUCGUACUCCUAAGAAAAGUAGAAGCGCGAAUAGUUCCAUCCGCCACACUUGCUGCAAUUAUUAGUUGCAUUCAACAUUGUAAUAAUUUUAUAGAAGCAAUGAAUGGUUUAAUUCACAUAGAUCAAUAAAAAAGAAUGUAUUUUGAUAUAAAACUAUGGCACUUGUACCCUUUUAAUUAUCAAUGAACAAGUUUAUUUUGCGUUUUCUCUACAUAUGCGUUUGGUUUUGAUGCAUGAUCCCGACAAGAUGCUAGUGUCUAGGUUGUGAAAUAAAUGGUUCUAUAAUAUUCACAUGCAUCUAAUUGAAGGAAAAUGUUGAUUGAAUCGUAGAGGCUAUAUAAGCUUUGGCAAUGAAGGAGAGUAAGCAUACGAAUCCUCUCGUUCUGGUUCUGUUUUUGUCUCUUGUUUUGGUGGUAUCCUCUAAUCGUAUCCUCAUCAAAUAUUUGGUUCCAUUUUUGCCUCUAGUGGUAUCAUUCGGUUCUGUUUCUACCACUUGUUUUGGUUCUCUCUCUGGUGUUGGUGGUAUCCUCUAGUUGUACCAUUUUCUAGUAUCAUCUGGUUCCAUUUCGUUUCUGCCUUUGGUGAUAUUCUCUGGUGGCAUCCUCUGCUCGUAUCUUCUUUUGGUAUCUUCUAGUGAUAUUGUAACACCCCGAUUUUCAAAGCGAGGGUGUAUUUUUUUUUUCAAAAGAGAUUAAACUAAAACAGAGAAAUAAAUAAGGAAAUGCCUUUGGAUAAAUAAUUGAGUCAUUAUAAUUUACAAGCAGCGGAAAAGUUUCUCCAAAUAUAAAUCCAAAGCAUUUACACAACAACAAAUGGUACAUGGAAGCCAUUCAAAUAAGAUGUCAAACUGACAAUAUUAGUAUAAGUACAGUUUUCCAAAUCAAAAUACUCCAACCCAAAAAGUAGGACGUCUAGUCCCUAUACAUCAACCUAAUCUGAUCAUCCUACCAAAAACUAUACACCCUGAGUGAUCUCCACGCGCUCCGUGAGAUCCUCCUAACGUAGCUGCAGUCAAGCGUUCCCAUCUCCAUUCCCGUCCGUAGGGUACGAACCGGUAGGAUCGUCCUGACUCUCAUCUGAGGGCAAAGCCCAGAUUUCCACAAUAAUUGUAAAGGGUCACCAACCGAAAUUAACAGAUAACACAUAACAUUUAAGUUUUAAAUGCACAAAAUAACCUUUCAACUAAGCAUGCACCUUAAAAGGAUUUUCCAUAUGCUAAAAGUUCAUAUAAUGCUUGCCAAUUAAAAAUGAAAUCAAAAUGAAGUUCUCAAAUCAUCAAGUAAUACAUAACUGACCAAAGCAUUGAUAAAUCAAUUGAACAAUCGAUUAUCUAACUCAAAAUAAGGACUUUUGCUGAGCCAAUCGAUUGCCAAAUCGAUUUGGUCAGUUCUGCUGAGUUUCUGCAUGACCAAAUCGAUUUCUAAGUCGAUUUUGUCAGUUCUGAUGAGUCCCUGUGUUGCCAAAUCGAUUUCCAAAUCGAUUUUGGCAGUUUUGCUGAGUUCCUGCCUCUCUGCCAAUCGAUUUCCAAAUCGAUUUCUUAAAAGAUUUUGAAAGACAUAUUUAUACAAUCGAUUGGCAAAUCGAUUAGGUUAAAAUAGUGAACUUCCUGCAACUCAUCCAAUCGAUUGGGAAAUCGAUUUCCCUGAUCGUUUUUCCAAAAAUUCAUGCAUUUACUCAAGUCAUUCCUAAUCAAGUUCACAACCUAACACUUAGCAAUUCCUACGCGAUUACCACGGCAAUUGGGAUCUCGAUAACCAUCAUACUUACACACAACAAUCAACACAUAACACUUAGCAUUUUCAACGCGAUUACCACGGCAAUUGGAAUCUCGAUAACCAUCAUACUUACACACAAUAAUCAACACAUAACACUUAGCAUUUUCAACGCAAUUACCACAACGACUCAAAUUCAAAUCACUUAAUCAUAAAACUCAAAUCAACCACGACUCGCGUGCCAAGAACCCUAAUGCAAUGCGUAUAUGCCAAAAUGCAUGGACUCGGAAUUCCAAACCAAAACCCUCCUCGAAGGGCCGUAAAUCAUAAUUGUACCGCCUAUCGCAGGCCAAAGUACCAAUUACCGAUGUGCCACCUAUCACGGGUCAGCACGAUUUACUAAAAUGCGUAAAUCAUAAACGUACCACCUAUCACGGGUCAGCACAGUUUACCGAGGUGUCACCUAUCACGGGUCAACAAGAUUUACCAAAAAUGUAAAUCGUAAACGUACCACCUAUCACGGGUCAGUACAGUUUACCAAGGUGUCACCUAUCACGGGUCAACACAAUUUACCAAAUGAAAUGCAUGAGAAUACACAGACUCCAUUCACAACAAUCGUUAAGCAAAUGCAGAUAUUAAAAGAGAUUCCCCAUUCUCAACGCCCAGUUAACUUAAACAUUUUCCUCAAAUGCACAUUGAGUAAACCGAGGUAUUAAAAGAUUCCCCAUUUUUAAUACUCGUUUAACUCUAAUGGUUUUCAAAUUCCACGGAAACAAACUCAAACAUACUCUCACAUUCAAACCAUAAUUCACAACAACCACACCAAUUAACAAACAUCAAGUAUGAACCCGCCAAAUGCAACGAACACAAAUCAACGCAACAUAACACCCAAAUACAUCAAAUUUCAUUUACUCAUAAUCAUACACAAUGACUUCAAAUUCAUUUACCACGAACCAUUCAUCAAUAUAAACAAAACCCAACUCUAAGGUUUUACCCAUAACGCAUUAGUUUCGUUUUUCCCCAAAUCGAUAUAUUAAACCCUAACAAAUUCCUUCCCACACAACCACAGAUAAGUCCCUAAUGCAACUAGAAGUUUGGAAGGAGCCCUUACCUCAACGUUAGCUUUAACGUGCGUUUCCGGUACCGCGAGUAAUUUCGGUAAAAUCUCCGCUCGCAACGCCGCUUCCAAAUUAGUUCACUAGCACCGUAGCGUGGUGGUGAGCAACUUUCCCUUCUAUCUCUUCGAGAAAUGAAGUUUGGAUCUAGAAGAAACGGAGGGGUUUGUGUUUGGAUCUCAAAAACCGUUUUUCUUCGUUUUCGAAUCAAAGAGGAAGAGUGGAGUUGCGAAAACCUUGAUCUAACUCUCCUCCAACCUUGGGUUACUAGUUUUGAAGAAAAGAAAGGGACGAAAAUGAAAAUGGGAGAAAGGAGGGAAUUUGGUUCACGGUCGAUCAGAGGAAGAAGAUGGAAAAUUCCAAUUUUCCUUCCUUUCUUUUUCUUUCCUUUGUUUUUCCUUUCUUCCCUUUUCCUUCUUUCCUUUAUAUACUCUUUUUUUUUCCUUUUCCUUCCUUCUAGUUUUCUUUUCUUUUUCCCCCCAAACAAACAUAUAUAAAUAUAAUAAAUAUAACUUAACAAAUAUCUCAAAAUCUAGAUAUUUGUUAAAUUACCGUUUCACCCGAAACACAUUAAAUUCUCCGUAAAAGAUUCAUCGCAGUUAAAUUCAAUUUAUUUAUCGACGAGAAAUUUUAAUUGGCAUCAAAAUAUCAUUUUGAUUAUAAAACUCCAAAAUAUUGUUAACUUUGGCUUAAAAGCCUCCGAGCCAAAAUCCAAAAUACACCAAAAAUACAUAAAUGGUACUUUAAAAUUAUGGGUCUUACAGAUAUCCUUUGGUGGUAUCCUAUAGUCGGAUGAUCUUCAGGUAUCUUCUAGUCGUAUCCUCUAGUGGUAUCCUUUGAUUCUGGGUUUGUUUUUGCCUUUGUGGUACUCUUUGAUGGUAUACUCUAGUCGUAUCCCCUUUUAAUACCCUCUAAUUGUAUCCUCUGGUGGCAUUCUUUGGUAAUAUCUUCUAGUCGUCUCCUCUAGUGGUAUUCUAUGAUUCUAGUUUUGAUUCAAUUUCUGUCUCUGGUGGCAUCAUCUGAUCGUAUCCUCUUAUGGUAUCCAUUGGCGGUAUCCUCUAAUUCUAGUUCUUAUUCCCUAUAUGUUCUUGUUGUUUAUUUUUUAUCUUAUGUUAAAUAAACUAACUAUUUUAAGGACUUUAUUAUGAUUUAAAUAUAUCCACAAAUAAAUUGAAAUGCCUCAUAUUAGUAUAUAAAUAAUUGGAAGUGUCAUUAUACAAAUAAUAACCAAGAAAAAAAUAUUGGCCUCUAGGGCUAACUCUAACAGUCUCCCACAAGCACUAGAGCUAACUAGAAAUACUCCUAAUACCCAUCAAUCUAGUAUGACCAUCAUGCUUCUGUUGAGCAAGUCUUUGUAAGUGGGUUAACAUUUUAUUUUCCAAGACAGCGACUCUGCAAAUCCUCACAUAUCCUCUAUCGAUGCUCUCUCAAAUAAGAUGGAAGCGUCGAUGUGACACCCUAAAUCCCAAAAUAAUAUAUAUAAUAAUUUAUAUCAUAUUCCUAUAAAAUUUGCAGCAAAUAAUUAAAAAUAUAUUUACAAGAAAAUAAAAACUUUAUAUUUAGUUUAGGAUAUCACGUUUCUCAAAAAUAAAAAUAAAAACCCUUUAAACUUAUUUUAUUCAUUAAAAUAGUGCAAUCUCGAUAAGCAUUAUUUAAGUAUAAUUACUUGAUUUAAUUCUAAAAACUUACUAGUACUUCUAAGGUUUUCAUACAAAAAUUCAAUUCAAAUUAAAUAAGUAAAAUACAAAUUAAAACCCUUAUUCCCGAUAUCACCUAUCAGAGCAGGGUUCCUCCCAAACUUAAACUUCAAGACACAUUAACCUGUAAUAAUUGCGAUUUUGAAAACACAUGGCCUAGCUAGUCAAACACAAACAACGAAUGAGGUGAGUUUCGAAAUCAUGAUGACAGUACAAUACAAGUAAGAAGAACACACAAACAAUGAUAAUAGGACCGUAUCAUUACACAAAUAUUCGAUCAAAAAAAUAUCACAUUCAAAGGUCAAAAUCACUCAAGGAAAAUCAAUAGAUUUCACUGUAACAUCAAAUUGUCUAAGAGAAAUUAUCACCACACACGAUACAUAUUAAUAACAACAAAACAAUUACAAUAAAAUGCAAUGUUAUGCAUGAGCUUAGACUCUACUUCACAAUGUGGUACCAUUCUAACUCUGAAGUACUUGGUUAGGAGGCUUGAUACUAUGCCACCAUCCCAGUGGGCGGACAAUUCAAAUUGGCCUUGUCCUCAUAGAUCCCCUCAACUCAACCCGAGACACAUAUACGUGACAGUCGAGGUAAAUGUGUGUUGCGUGGUAGCUCCCGACAUUUGGAGUGCUACCUCCAAGUCACCUAGGAAUUCCCCACCCGAAUACCUCCAAGGUCUAACAAUCUUGCCUUAAGGCUCGACAGCAGACCGCCACAAUCAGGCUCAUUCAGUUGUACUUCCCCGGAAUCACUAUGCUUGUUAGGCCCUACCAAUAUGAUGACAAAAUAAUCUUCACUUCACAAUUUCUCAAUAUUUAUUUUCUCCCCUCGUUGACCUAUGAUACUCCAUUAAGAACCGUCAUCUCAAACACAAAUUGAAAUCACAAUUAUUUUACCAACUAUGGGGUUACUUUAAUAUUCCCAUCACAAAUUCACAAUAUCACUAUCAUUAAUCAUAUCUUAUCACAUAAACUCAUUACAUAGGCUUGUCACAAAUUUAUAACAUCGUUAUUAUUAAUUAUACAUCAUCAUAAUCACAUAAAUGUAUCAAAAUAAAUUCACUUUUUAUCAUCACAUAAGCAUAUCUAAUAAAACUUAUACAUAAAAUUCAUUCAACAUCUAAUAUCACAAUAAUAUCAAAUAUCACACAUUUAGUAAAAAUAAAUCAAACAUCACAAUAAUAUCCAAUACCACACAUUUAGCGAAGUUAAAUCAAUCAAAACCUUAUAAAUAUUUCUAUUCCAUAUUUUAAUCUUAUAGUUCCCGUAUUUUAAUAUUAAUUAAUUUAUCACUUAAAUGACUACUACCGUACGUAACGAGCCCCAAAUGAAUCGUUGGGAAAUACGGUUUUCUCGUUCAUCUCAAAUUAUAUUAUACUCAUGAAUUCAAACGCUCUCUCAUCCCUUGCCUUAUUUUGAAGCUUUCACACACGAAUACCAUUCUACGAGCAAACAAACAUUCUUCAUUGACUAUUUGUCCUUCAAUUGAUCUAACUCGACAGUUUAUGGGUAAACGUUAAAAAUAAAUUAUGAGAAGAUACUCUAAAAACUAAAUUCAUAAUCCGGUCAAGGAAAAUUACCAUAAAUCAGAAACCAAAUCAGUGGAUAAUAUAGCCACUUUUUACACGGUCGUUUUGACGUUGGUUUCACUCAAAUCGGACUUACGGUGAAAGAGAACGGUGCAAAAUAACGAAUUCUACAAAACGAAGAAGUCGGAUAUUUUAGAGAGAAAUUGGGGUUGUUAAAAAUCUGGAAAAUUAUAUUUAAUUGACGAGUUAAAUGAAUGAAAUAACAUACUCAAAUUUGGAUUAUAGCCCACUUUUUACACGGUCGUUUUGGCGUUGGUUUCACUCAAAUCGGACUUACAGUGAAGGAGAAUGGUGCAAAUAACGAAUUUCUACAAACGAAGAAGUCGGAUAUUUUAGAGAGAAAUUGGGGUUGUUAAAAAUCUGGAAAAUUAUAUUUAAUUGACGAGUUAAAUGAAUGAAAUAACAUACUCAAAUUUGGAUGAAAAUGGAGAGAGUUUUCUGGAACAGUUAUCGAUCACCGAUGUGAAACGAUAGGAUUAUUGUUGUGUUUCUCUUUAGUUUUACGGCUGCCCUUCCAACUCCCUUCUCUUUUUUGUUUGUUUUAUUUUAUUAACAAUUAGGGUUCAUACAUGAAUAAAACCCAUUGGUCUCCUUUUAGGUUUUACUAGUUUUAUUUUAUCUUAUUUUUUUAAAACACAAUUUCGUUAAUAAAGUAUUAUUACUAUUUCAAAAAUAAUAAUUUAUAAACAAAAAUAAUUAAUAUUUUAAAAUACAUUAAUAAUAAAAAAUCUCAUAUUUAAAAUAAUCCCUAUAAUAAUAUUUAUUUUUUUCAAAUACUCAAAUUAAAAUAUUAACUACACUAGAGAAUAGUCAAAAUUAUAAAAUAAAUAAAUAUAACAUCGACACUUUAUAUUAAUUACUAAAUCUUAAUAAAUAUAUAUAAAAUCACAAUGUCAUAAACAAUAUAUAAAAAUAAAGUAAAUCAAACACAAUAUCACUACUAUCUCAAGAUAAUUAUUUAUUAAAAAAAUAACUAAAAAUAGAAAAUAGUUAUAAAUAAUUGAAAUAUAACUACGUGCAUACUUAACAUCAGUCAAGCGCACCUAAAAGUAUUACAUUAAUUGGAUACACGUAUGUACACGUAAAAUCGUAUAAAAUAUUUUUCUUUAAAAUAUAUAUUACACUAAAGUACUACUAUUUUUAAAAAAUAUAUCAAAUAAUAAAAUAUAAUAUUUAUUAUUUAUAACGCUCAUGUAAUCUAAGAUUUAUAAAACUAGCACGUCAUAGAAAUCACCUAUAUAACAAAAAUUAGUCAGAAAAUUUAUUAUCAUACUUAACUAAUAAAAUAGUUUAAUAUAAAAUUUAGGGUGUUACAGUCGAAGCAUGUGUUUGGAUCUCUAGUGGGAUUUGAGUUCCUUAAAUUGCGCAAUUGCAUCGUUAUUAUCACAGUAAAGUCAAUCGAAUCCACAAUGCCAAGAACUAUAUAUAGGUCAACAAUAGCUUUUUUACCAAACAACCUCCUUUGUUGCAUUAGAGGCAACAAUGUACUUCACCUUUGUAGUAGAAUCAACGUUUGUCUCUUACUUUGAACUCUUCCAACUCACAACGCCACUAUUCAGACGAAACACAUAGCCAAACUGCGAUCUUGAGUCAUCUUUAUCAGUUUGGAAGUUAGCAUCAGUGUAACCCUUUAGGAUGAGUUCUUUCUCAUCAGCAUACACUAAGCAAUGAAACCUUAUUCCUUCUCAAAUACUUUAGGAUGCUCUUAGCUGUGGUCCAGUGACCUUCACCAGGAUAUAUGAUUAAUACAUGUUCGUCAUGCUCAGCGGAUAUUGGACAUCUAUCUAGUACAUAUCAUGGCUUAUAUGAUAGAUCAUAUUGUUGAGGCAUAAGACAUUUUACUCAUGUGGAGGAGUGUGUGUGAUGUAGAUAGGAUUCGUUUUUCUAUAUAACAAUAGUUAUGUCAUAGGCCACUUGAUAGAGCGACACCGUGUAAAUGCAUGACCAUACUAGAAUGGAUCAAUAUUUGAUAUUGGGUCUAUUAGUUUUACGCAUCUACUCGGGGAUUGAGAAAUAAAGAAUUGAUCAUUGCAAGGAUGACAUGUAUUGUGACUUGUAUUCAAUUAGGUAUUUGAACAAAUGCACAAUUCAUGCAUGGUAAAUAAUUGUCGCAAUAAAAUUUAAAUUGUAUCACCGAUUUUCUCACCAGAAUCUAUAAGAGUUACAUGCAUAAAGUAUUGUUAGAUGAUUGAAUGAUUAAAUUUAAUAAGAUUUGAUUUAAUUAGAUGUUAACCGUACUAAAUAUGAUUUAUUAUUUAAUAUAUUUUUAAUUUAUGUAAUUGAAUAUGAUUUGGUUAAAUAAAUGAGGAGGAUUGACAAUUAAUUCAAUUUAAUUAAACAUAGUUUAAUUUAAUAAAUAAUUUGUAUUUAAUUAAAAUAGUUUAAUUUAAUAUAAUUUUUAAAACUUAUUUUGGCUUGAGCCCAAAAUAGGAGUUUUAAGGUUUUAGUGGCUCAUUCUCUAUAAAUAGAGGAAUUGCACACUCUCCAAGUAAUCAUGAUUUCCACUACCCUCGUAGAUUGACUAGCACCGCGCUCCGUUUUGUGCUCAUGUAGGCUAUGUAGAGAUGCAGAUAGUUUCCACGUUGGUGAUCAAAGUUAAAGCAUGAUUCAAAAGAGAUGUUUCGUGUUGGUGAUCUUUCUCCUCGAUGUUUUAAGAGGUAAACACAUAAAUCCCUUAUAGUGAAAUUUGGGGCUUACAUGAUCCUUGGCUAAAGGGGUUUUCUGCUCAUGACAAUGAUUUUAAAAAGGGUUCUUAAAGUCUAUCUCAAAAUUCCACAACAGUUGUUUCAUCAAGAUAUAAAUGGAUGCUAAUACUAGAACGGAUUGUGCAAAUGAUCUUUGGCUUCCAAUAUUCUUGAGGUAUUUGUGUUUCAUAUUCCAAUUUCCAACAGUUCAAACAUUUUGUAAAUCAUCAUGAUAAGCAAAGGAAAACUCAAAAAUAUUUCUCAAGGGGAACCACGUGCCAUGAACCAACCGAUUUCCAUAUUUUUUUAAAGCUUUUGACGUCAAUUUUAUAAAAUGAUUGGUGUAUUUCCUUUAGACAUCGUAACUCUACGAUGAAGGUUAUUCUUGUAAAUUUCCAAAACUAGUUGAUAUUCAUCUUCUCGAAUUUUGAUAGCACUUUUUGAUGUAGAGUUUUGGUAAUUAACUCAACUGAAUGGUCCAUGAAUUUUGGAGAGCUUGGAGAAAAAAUUUAACAAUGGAUUGUAGAGUGUUGACCGACACAACUAUGUAGGUCGGAGGAAUUUUUGUGACAAUCCUUGCAAGCAUAAGUCAUGAAGAACAUACCAUAUGCGUUAUUUAUGCAUGACAACAAUUGACGAGAGAACCAUAAUGUCAACCCCAAUAGCAACUGACAACUCAACAACAAUGACAACAAGAAACCAAAUGGAAAACAAAUCGAACCAUCAAUAAGAUUAAAUAAACAAUGUGAAUUAGAAGUCGACAUCAAUAGUGUGUCCAAACACGAAUCAAAAGCCAAACAUGAAUCAUAAUCCAGACCCAAAAACAAAAACCAAACGUCAACACAAAUGCGAAAAUAGUUUCAACGCAUGAUGCGAAUUACAAAUUAAAUGUGAGUUAGAUUGACAAUAAAAGAAAACAAAGGUAAUACUAUUUUUACUAAAUUAUCCUUUGAUCAAAUAAUUUGGGCGCAUGUUUUUAAAUUUUUACUGUGGCAUUUUAAUUGCGUUGUAUAGCUUAGAUUAAUGUUUUUAGAUUAAUACUAUUUUUACAUAUUAACUCAUGUUCGCGCUGUAGACCAUAACUUGAGCUCUGUUGGAAUAAAAAUCCAAUGCAGAACUUUGUUGGGUCUAAAUUGCAUAUUUCAUUAUUUGGGUUUUUAUUUAUUACUAAUUUUAAGUAGCGGGCCAUUUGUUUUACAACUCCAAAAACUGAGUACAAAGUUUUAGGUUAAGUAGUGGGCCAUUUGUUUCAUAAGAUUAAUCCAUGAGUUCAAAGUUUCAUCAACACCUUGAGAUUCAGGUUACACUGUCAAUUUUGUUUCAUGAUUCUAUUUAUGUUUAUUUGAUUAUAUUGAUAUUCUAAUUGUGAUACUUAAUCUAGUCAAAGGAAUCGAAUUCACAUUGGAUUGAUUACGCUUGUUUGAUCAAUUAUAUAGUCAAAUAAGAAAUAGAGUCACAAUUUAGAAAUUAAAUCCGUUGGUAGAAUCUAUGAUAAGUUUGAAACUCUCGAAUUAGUGGAUUAAUAAUUUUUUUAAUCUGUUCGAACAAAAAAUCUAAAAACCCCUUUUUUAAUUAUGACUUUCAAUUUGGCUAGUAUUAUCAUAUCAUUAGUCCAUACAAACAACUUGAAUUAUUACAUUUAUCUACAUUUUAUCACUUGUAUUUGACCUGUGUGCGACACCAGAUUAUCCUCUUCAUGCAUUGAUGUGUUGACCAUUAUCAUAAAUACAAGGUAUAUAUAUUACUUGAGUGUGGGGCACAUACUAUUAAUUAGAGUAUGAUUCGGACUACAGUCAUUAAUAUUUAAAGUUUAAAGUUUAAAGUGAUAUUUAUUUUCAAUUAAUUUUGUUUUGCAAAAGUGAUGCUUAUAGUGGAACAAAGGAUAGUAUUAAAAUUUUGGCUUCCUUGGAUUUCAAAAAACUACUUCUAUUUUCCAAGCGAUGCUGAUAUAUCUACAUGUUUAAAUAGAGAACAAGAAAAUACAAAAGUUAAAAUAUGAGUUACUAAUCAUUAGGGGUAGGAAUAGGUCAGGUCAAUUAGAUUUUGAAAUCCUUGAGUUUGGCCUACAAUUAAUUCUUUAGGCAUAAGUCUGACCUAUGACCUAUCAUAGACUUUCUUUUCGGUCUGUUCUACCCUUUAUAAAAGUCUGACCUGACAUAAAAGCCAAUUUAAAAGUCUUAUUCACAUUAAAACAUUUAAAUAUUAUAUUUUACGUUUUUUUAAAUAUGCUAAACUAGGACUUUAUAUACAAAAAAAAACUAAUCAAAUUAUAAUCAAAUCUAAUAAAAUAAUACCUAAUCAAUGCAAUAACUUACAUGAUGCUCUAUCCAUACCAAUAUACAUGAUGCUCUACCCAUACCAAUUUACAUGAUGCUCUCCACAUACCAAUACUAAUGUACAUAUGCAUAUAUAUAUUAAACAAAAAAUGAUUUUUGUAACAAAGUGAUUUUAAAAAAUUCUGAAACAAACACCAUUUAAACCCUAAAAUAUGAUUUUUGAUUUCAAAGAAUAGAUUUUAUUUUUCAUGAAACAAACGCACUCAUUAUAACCUCUCAAACAAAUUCUCUCAAAAAAAACUCGGACAUAUUCAGUAAUAAUAUAAAGGGACUGCACCUAUUUUAUGUAUUUUUUUUACUAUUUUUUACAAACUCACAUAUACUGGUUUGAUUUAUGAUUUAUUUUUAUUUAUAAAACCUAAAACUAGAACAACUUCAAUGGAGUUUCUAGAAAAGUUUUAAGAGAUUUUACAAAGAAUAACUUUAUUUAAGGAAUACAAAGAUAAAAUUAAAAAAAAAAUUAAGAUUUUGAAGUAGUAAAUAUUGAAAUCUUUCAUAGUAUAAUAAUUAAAUAAUAAUAUGAACGAUUGAACUUGAAAAGAACGGGAGAAGAAAAGGACAGGGAGAAUAAUGAAUUGCUACUGGAUAUGGAACGACCAUUGAGUGAUAGCCUAAUUGAUAUAUUGAUAUAGGCUUUAAAAUAGGAAUAAUAUUGUUAAUAAACAAUAAUAAAAAAAAAAUAACAUUAAUAAAUAAUAAAAUAUAUAUAGGUCGGCCUGUCAGAUAUGAAAGACUUUUUUAUACGUUUGAAUUUUCCCUAUUUAAAUAAAUAUUCUUUAAAAAUAGUUUGAACCUAACAUUUUUAUUAAACAGGCCAGACCAGACCAUAAGUAGGCUGACCGCAGACCCCUAACUGACGGUCUAACCUAUUCCCACCCCUACUGACCAUUAAUAAUGUUUAUUUUUUCCUUUGCAAAAAUGCAAUUGAUAGGCCAAAGAUUUAGUUUGAAGAAAAAAAAAACAUUAAUUAUUUUUUGAGAAUAUAAUAAAAAAUUAUAGGUUUGAUCAUCACAUAUUACAACAUUACAAAAUGCAUUUGCAUAGCUUUUGAAACUAUAGUUAUGCAUGUUUAUAAAUAAUUUGGUUGAAACAUUGCUCCUAAAUUAGCUCUUCAAUGUAUAAAAAGACAGAUGGAGUGACUUUUUUGUAUACAAUCAUAUGAAAAGAAAAAGAAAAAGAAAUAUUAAGUAACUAGUGUGUUAUUAAUUCCCCGAUAUUUUUUUUAUUAUAUUUAAUUGUAAUAUAUAUUUUAACUUAUCUAAAUAAAUGCUAAAAAAUUCUAAAAAGAGUAUAUAAUAGUUAUAAGGCCGUAGAUUUUUAUAUAAGUCAAACCGCUUUAUACAAAGCCUAUUUAAUUUACUAUAGACACAUGGUGUAGCAAAAUAGAACAUAAAUUUAUACUUAAAUAUGAUUUAUUAAAGUAUUUGUGAUUACAAAUGACCUAAAAGAUCAAUAAGUAGCAACACAAUUUUAUUUAUUUGUAAAUUUGGAGUAAAAGAGAAUAAUUUUUUAAUCAUGAUUUCAUUCAUGACACAUUGGUAACUUACUCCUCUUAUUAAAUAGAUAUUAAUAUGUUUUGUUGCAUGGAUAAUUUAGAAAUGGAUUUGACAUUUGGGGGAUUUUAAUGUCUGUUAAAAAAACGUGUACGUCUUAGUGGACUGGGUUUACGUGUAUGGGUUGGUGGAGGGGGAGGAUGCAUUGGAGGAGGGGGAGGAUGCAUUGGAGGAGGGGGAGAGCGGUUGCGUAAGCGCCAGCGCUCGCGUAUAUACCUGGGAAUGUCAUUGAAACGUUGCCUAAUAAUGUCGAGUUCUCCUUUUUUGUCGUAAUUAGGUGGUUUAGGAAUUGGUGUCUUGGAGAUUUGUGGGCUUACAUCAGCAAGUCCUUGUGGAACAAAGAUAAGAGCAGCAAGGAACAACAUUAGUAAGGUUAAGAAAUUCGAAACCAUUUUCAUAAGUUGUUUUAAUGUUUCUACAUUACAUAUAAAAGAAUAAUCAUAUUUUAUACUAGUUUGGAGCCCAAAUGGGUUUGCAAUGUCUCAAUCUGAGUUAUAUGUGUUGUCCCUUAUUA